This 56371-nucleotide long non-coding RNA is filed under the name Setaria viridis. RNAcentral's name for it is "long non-coding RNA (SVIR_LNC007217)". Lineage: Eukaryota; Viridiplantae; Streptophyta; Magnoliopsida; Poales; Poaceae. The record is from RNAcentral.
UGGGUUUGCUGGUGGAACUGGAAGGGCUUGAUGCAGCAGAUGCCAUUCUGCAAUAGAGAAAAAUUUAGAGAGCAGUACUAGUUAAAAUUGGAUGCAGAAGAUACACAUGAAACUAGUAUUUAUACAAGUCUAUACAAUUAAAAUCUAAGGAGACUUAUCAUCGUUUUCAUGUGUUGUGAAUUAAAAUAAUGAAGGAUACACUGUUAGGUGAAAAUUCAAGAAACAAAAUUUUGCAUAGAGAUAAAGGUCCAACAUUAUUACAAGUUAAGGUAGUUUUAAAUAUCCUUGUAAUCUUCCUUUGGUUUCCUCAACGAUUCGAAGACAAUAACCUUGCUUCUAUCAAUGAUAAUUAUAAGGAGAAUCCAGUGGAAACUGUGUAUUCGUAUUAGAACUACCUAAGGUUAAUUAGGUUAGGAAAGGAAAUUGAAAAUAGAUGGUACCCACACUUACUUAAAGUUGUCGGGCAAUAGUAUGUAAUGCUUGUAAUUCCGUUGCUCCAAGAAUUUGUAUAUGUGGUCCAAUGUAGACUUUGGUUGAUCCCGUAUCUGCUGUUGGUUAAAUAAGUGUUUCUAGCCAUUUCUAGCCAUUAGAACCGGGACUAAAGGGGGCUCUUUAGUACGGGUUGAUAUUACUAACCGGGAUUAAAGAGCCCCCAUUAGAGUUGGUUUUUGGAUGCGGAACUAACAACUCCUUUAGUCCUGAGUACGAAAACAACUGACAUAUUUGUUGCUGGAUGGAAGGUCCUUUCUCUACCGUGAAUAUUGCCAGAAAGAAUUGAAAGAGACUGCUUGCUAAAAAUAUGUCAUAGAUGUAGACCAAGCUACCAAGGAGGUAGACCAAACAUGAUACACACCAUGCGUACCUUGCUGUGCAGACUAUGCAUUGACAAGAUACCCGACCACAUGUUGGCCUCGGUCACAUCAAAAGAAUCAUGUAGGCCACCAAUAAACUACUUGAAGCGGCAUUCCGUAUCGUAUAUGCAUUGCCGGUUCAUCUGCAUUACAUUACAUAAAGCACUAUUAACUAUUUGAAUAAAAUGAACCAAUUUAAAAGUAAUGUGUUGUACUCUACUAUAGAAAGCCCUAUCACUGCCGGAUCCAAAAACAUCAUUGUUAAUGGUGGUUAAGUACCAAAUAUGACGGUCAAUAUUCUCAAGAAUAAUGGAGAAUUAGCAUUUCUUAGACACAUAUUUGGUUUUGAACAAUGUAGUUCCACAUGUCUUUGGAGAUUAUUUGGGUGUGGGUGAAAUAAUACAAAAAUAAGGAGAAAACACACUCCCAUGGCGAAGAAACACAACUCCAACCAAUGAGAGAUAGCCACAGGGGCAGCACACGGAUCCAUGGGCCCACUAACCGCAUCAAACCAUCUUACCAAGGCAGGUAGCACCCACAACCGUCAUUAGGACCCACCUGGAAGUCUACCAAGAAGAAGGUUGCGAGUGGGGCCAGGAGGGGUUCGGUUGAAUCAUCUCUAGCUAGCUCCCCUCAUCCCCAGCUGGUGGGUGGUGGUGGUUGAUGGUGUCCCUACAUCAGUUAGAGGAGAUUCCCCCAAAUAUUCCUCCUGUAAACCACCUCUAUGGACCUAUACAUAGAGGGGUGUGCUCUCCAUUCCAACACACACCACAAGUUGAAUCACUCUCUCCCUCUUUAGUUUCCAAGUUUAUGGAGUUAGGCUAGAGUAGCUCUGCUCAAGGUUCCAAGUCCACUUGGAGUUAAGCAUAUGUCUCUUGUAUCGUUAUUUCCUAAAUUGACUUUAUGCUUAGUUCUUAUAUGCAUGAGUUAGUCUAAUACCCUUGCUAUAUUGAUAUGCUCGGCUUAUAUGCUCGUAUGCUAGUCAUAUACCCUUGCUGUCGUAGUAUAGGCUUAUAUGCUCUCAUGUGUGCCUGUAGACCUUGCUAUAGUAUAUACUUGUUGUGCAUACAUACCAUGUAUAGGCUAGUCGAUCUAUACCAUGGCAUUGGUUCAAUAGCCAUGUUUUUGGUGGCUCCAACCCUAGUCACAAUAGCUCGGGACAGCUGGAGUGUUGUUAAAAAUGCAAGAGUGGUGCUUGGGUUGUUUAGCAUCGUUGGAUAUGGGUUUGCCCCACGGGUUUCUAACGGUAGGCGGCAGCUAGUGACAUCCCUGUCCGUCCUUCGUAAUCCCCCCACAUUCAGGUACGCCAUAAAUGUUCGUAAAUUAGCAGUAACUACGCCGGUACACCUGUAGGGUAUUGUCUCCCUGUAGUACCUUGGUGCAUAGAACUAAGUCCUAUACACUGUGUGUGUAUGUUUACGCUGAUAUGAUCUGUGCAGUAUAUAGGAUGUAUAUAUGAACCUAGAGCUAACUCCUAGUCCGUUCUCCAUAGCUUAGUUAUCUUGAGAUGAUUCUUCUGUAUGUGUAACACUACCCAUCUUAUCAUUAUCCUUGAUCCUGUCUUGUGUAAUAUAUCUACUCAUCCUAUGAUAUACUCAUAUGCAUAGUAAACUAUUUUGACCUACCCGCCUUCCUUUGGGAAAUAUGAUACCUUGGAAUAAUCCUAGGUGAAAUCCUACAACGGUAUAUCCAUGUAAAUGCGGAUUUAUUCAUGACCAUUAAAUAUACCAACAAUCAUCACUGUGAGUUUUGGGCGUCGUUAGUGAAGGGUUGGUAGUGAUGGGCAUCCCCUUCACCAAUGGACCUGGAACCGGCGGUGAUGGCUAUUAUAAAAAAGGGGACACCACCCAGCGUACCCCACGACCCGGCCGGCCGCACCUCCCAUCAUCCCCGCCAGCCGCCCUUCCUUUUCGCCGGCCGAGCAUGGUCCCGGCCUUUGUCCCUACCACCUCGCCUCCACCGCGACCCCCCGCCGAUGCCCUCGUGCCUGGCCCCCCUCAUCUUGCCGGCCACCCUCCCGAUGCGUCCACUGGGGCCCUCGCACCACCAACCGCCCUUGCUUAGAGAGGGAGAGAGAGGAGGGAGGUGAGGCCACGCACCUCGUCCUACACCGCCGCUGUUUCUCCUCGGCCCACCGCGCCUCACCCCACACCACAGCCGCGCCUUGCCAUCUUACCGGCUGUGACGCCUCAUCUCACCGGCCACCGUUCCUCACCCCCACUUCGGUCGUCGCCGCUCCUUGCCCUACCGCUGCUCUUUGCCGCUGCGAAUGAGCGCCGAGUGGAGGAGGAGGGAUGGGGCAGGAGGAGGGCAAGAUCCGGGAGGAAGGGAGAGAUCUCGGGAGGUGGAGAUGGAAGGAUAUGGCGGAAGGGAGAGAUCCAGAGGGAGAGAGCAGGGGAGAGAGGGGGGCGUGUGGGGAGAGAGCGCGUGUGGGGUGGGGCCGGGCUGGUGGGAUGGAAGGGAGAGGGGCUAGACGGGCGCAGUGCAUUCAACUGGAUGAAGUAAAUAUUUUGGAUUCGAGACCCCAGCUUUAUUAUCACCGCUGGUCCGUAGUACCAUCCGGUGCCUGCUCGUAAUUUAAUUUGAAUCUGCGGUGAUGUUUUAUUAUCACCAUCGGAUCAUAUAAAAAUCCGGCGGUUAAAAAUCCGCUGGUUUCGAUGAAAACCGACGGUGAUAGGAUGACUGUGAUAGUCUCUUCUCUAGUAGUGGUAUAUUAGUACCGGCUGCCGGAUGGUGUUGCCGACCAGUACUUCUCCGGGGGCGAUUCAGUACUGCUGUUAGCAAAGCUUGUUCUCUAUGAAUUUGGGGAUGGAAAGCUAGUUCUCUAGUUGUGAUUUGUUACAUAUAUAUCUAUGAUAGUCUAGAAAUUGCAUGUCCUUCGUUGACAUAGUUGAAGCUGCUUCAAGAAUUUACUUCGUGCAGUCGUGCAGCAUAUUGGAUUAUCACCUAGACAGGAUACAUAGGUGAAGCAUUGGAUGUGAUUGUGGCCGAUAAUUAUGCAGGACGCUGUUGCAAUCAACCACCAAGAAGUCUGGAGUGAUGGGGUUGCCUCAUCAAUAAUUUUUAUAUAUGGCUGCAGUAUUAUUAAGCCCACGUCAAUAAUUUUUUGUCCGCACCAUAUAUCGAUGGGGUUGCCUCAUCAAUAAUUCGCGCAACCAGACAAGCUGCAGACUCAAUAUGGUACGAAGCUAGUUGCUCAGCCCACAUGCUCUGAUAUAACAUUGACAUCUGCUGAUCUACAGUAUAUAUGACCAGAAAUAUUGUGCCCACCUCAAUAACUUUCUGAAGUAUCGUGGGGAAGAACCUACGCGUACUAUGCCUCGGAACUAACUGACAUAUCGGCCCAGGCGGUCUAGGCCGAUUGGACUGGCUCUUCCUUGUGGCUUCUCACAUCCCCUUCGUCCCCAAGUAAUUUCAGGUGUUCUGUAGUUUUCUUUUCACUUGCAUCUGAGCCUCCUAUAUCAAUAGCUUCGGGAUAAGAAUGCCUCUUGAUAACCUUCCAAAUCCUCGCUUGAUUCACAUUGAUUCCGAAAUCAUCUUGCCAUAUCUUCAGAGACUUAGGUCCUAAGGCAUCAUGGAGGAUUGCUCGCCAAGAAUGAGCACCAUUGGGCUCCUGAGGACCCUAGGCCGAUCAGCCCGGGCUCUAUAGGUCGAUUGGCCCAGGCCCUCUCUGGGCCUGUUGGCCUUCAUCUUUCUUUGAGUCGACGCUUAUUCAGGGCUUUGUCCAAUUAUAGUCCAUUAUAGUCUAAUUUCCUAAAAAACAGAAUGUCCUCCAAAAUACAAUGCAUAUGUGAAAACAACCCAAUUAUUAGGUAUGAUCAAUAGUUUAGGUAUUAAAUUAAUAUUAUUAUUUAAGAUAAACAGGGGUAAAGGGUGUCAUUAAUAACAAGCGCCAACAAGCGUCCUAGCUGUUCAAUAAAUUUUUUCUAGUACCGAUUGGUAACACUAACCGGUGCUAAUAUGUACCCUUUAUUACCGGUUAUUUUACCAGGUACUAAAGGAGACAAGAGCAUCCUAACAUAAGGUUAAUAUCAUCCAUUUCAUGAGUAAAAUACUAUGAUUCAAAAAUAAUUCAAAUCCCUUAAGACAAUACCUAUCAAAUGAGUAAAUUGUAAAUAGAGUAAUCUUGAUCAAACAAUGUCCUAAUGAAACGGAACACUUCUGGUUCGUGUAGAGCACAAUAUAGAAAACAGUAGGGUAGCUGUAUGAUUGACACGUGGUCCAUUAAUUAUUGAGCCAACACUAUGGACAUGUCUUCAUGAGUAGUGUACUAGUCAUAAUACAUGGUAUGCAGUAGGUGGAGGUAUUGACUUAGCCAUGCUAUGAGCACUUAGUUACAACAAACACUUUGCCAUUAUCGAGCAUCCCAAAUCACUACAAAAUCCAUAGUUUACCAUAUACUACAAAAUCUGAGUUAAAAUAAGAGCAUACACGGAAGAGUCCGAAUGCACGGCACAUUGAAUUACUAGACAAAAUUUAUGGGACAAGGUUUUGGGUAACCGCAUGAAAAAUAUUGGAUUUUACUGAACACUUAGUUACAAUUACCAUGCCCGUGAGCACUUAGUCACCACAAACAUUUAACCACUUUAGAUCAUCCUGAAUCCCUAUAAAUUCUAUACCUUACACCGUACCAUGAAAACGACAAGAACAGAGACAGAUGCGGUGAAAAUCUCCAGAGCAAGCCUGAAAUUAAAAUAAGAGGAGGCAGUCACUAUCGACAGGACACGGAGAUUGCUAGCCAUGACAGAGGAAGACAUGAUAUGAUAUUCACCUCUGAAAUGCAGCGUAGACUAAAUGAAGCACAAUUGCAAGUGAGUGUGGCAGAUAAUGGACCAUCGAGACCAUCGAAUGGUAUGAAGCAUGAUUAUCACCUAGACAUGAUAUCCUAGACAGGACGGUGAAUUGUAAAAAGAGUAAUCUUGAUCAAAGAAUGUCCUAAUGAAACGGAACAUUUUUGGUACGUGUAGAGCAAAAUAUAGAAAACAGUAGAGUAGUUGUACGAUUGAAACUGCAUCCAUCGACGUGGUGCAUGAAUUGUUGAGCCAACACUGUGGACAUGUCUUCAUGAACACCAUCUAGUGAGGACAGCAUGCAGAAAAAUAUAAAAACAUGUCAUAGGGAGGCAGACCAAUCUUGCGAGGUAGACGAAACGUGAUACACGAUCUGCCUACCUUGUCGUGUGGAUACCCCAAGUGAAGAUGUCAUAGAGGUGCAGACCAAGCUAGCAAGGAGGUAGAUGAAACGUGAUACACGGCCUGCCUACCUUGCCGUGGAUAUUAGUCCUGAUAUCAUUCUAUUGUUCAAGGAAUAACACUCAAUGCUGCUGCUGCUGCUGACCUGGCUCCAUAAAGUUAUAUUCCUCUAGCCGCUUGCACUAACUUUAUCUGAAGUAUUAUUCUCUCUGCACUGUAUAUAUGGUUACGGAGUUUGCUGGAGUAUCCGGGGGGAAGAACCUACAUAAUAUGUCUUGGAACUAACUGACAUUGAUUCACAGACAAGGUGCUGUUGUUGACAUGGUACAGUAAAUAAUAUAGUUUACCAUAUACCGUAUACCAUUAUAUGUUAGCUAAAAUAAGAGCAUAACAUGUCGCAGGAGUCCAAAAGCACCGGUUGAGGACCAGGUACAUUAAAUUACUAGAAAACAAAAGGGGACAAGGUUUAGGUAGCCACAUGAAAAACAUUUGAAUUUACUGUACCAUGAACACUUAGUUACCAUGCCGGGAGCACCUAGUUAACACUAACAUUUAGCCACUUUAGAUCAUCCCGAAACACCAAUGACCCUCAAUAGCGACAAAUUUUGGUUUAAAUGCCGUCACCAAUGAUCCUCAAUAGUGACGUGUUUAGGUUUAAAUCCCAUCACUAAUAACCCUUGGUAGUGACGUGUUUUGGUUUAAAUCUCAUCACCACUGAUCCUCACUAGUGACGUGUUUUUAGCAACACACGUUAUGAAUGACUUGUCAUUGGUGACAUGUUAAACGCGUUAUCUCAAUGGCAAAUCAAUGGUGACGUGUUUAAAAAAACAUGUCACUGUGAGAGUUAUUGGUGAAGGGUAAUUAAAAUGCAUCACUAAUUUUGUAGCAUUAGUUAUGAUAUAAUUUUGUAACGCAAAAAUCUACCAUAGUAAUGAGGUUUAGAGCCAUCACUAAUGUGGGUUUCUUAUCGUAGUGAUGCAAGCUCUACAAGGUGCUGUUGUUGCCAUUUUAAAGCAUCCCAAAUGACUACAAGAGUCCGGUUGAGGACUAAACAAAUUGAAUUACUAGAACCAAAUGUAUGUCCAGAACAAAGAAAGGGGUCAAGGUUUGGGUAACCGCAUUAAAAACAUUGAAUUUUACUGUACCAUGAACACUUAGUUACCAUUACCAUGCCUUGAGCACCUAGUUACCACAAACAUUAAUUUAGCCACUUUAGAGGUUCCACAAUCACUAUAAAUAAUAUACCAACACCGUACCAUGAAAACAUCAAGAAGAGAGACGGGUACAUGGACCACCAUCAAGUGAGUAGUGACAGCACGCACAAGAAUACCCGGAACCUUUUAGCUUGUCUGUAGUGAUCUGUUUUCUUCGCCACAAAUAAUGAAAGAGGCUGACCAAGCUAGCAACGAGGUAGAGCAAACGUGAUACACGUAGGUUUCAUUCAAGACAUCCAUGUAAGAUUCAUUCAAAACAUUCAUGGAAAUUUCUUGUAAGUUUUCAUGUAAAUUUCAUUCAAGACAUUUGUUAGAGGUGUUGUAUAUACACUUAACGUACAUAUAUCUAUGAUUUCAUGGUUGUUAGUGAUGGCAGAUGAGGAGCAUGCAAGGUGUUUAAUGGAGCAGAUUAUUGCUAGUGGUAGUGGCUCCAACCUGCCCGUAACGUACACCGACGAAGAGGGCAGCCAGGCGGACAUGUUCCUCAACAUGUCCGGUGAUGGCAAUGAAGAGCCCGAGCAAAACCUUGCCGUGACGGAAGGUUCCAUCGAGGUAUAUAUCAUUUCCAUUAUUUUACCCCAUCUAUAAUUUCAUAUUCAUUAUUACUAUGUGCUAAUUAAUGAAUCUUGAACCGUUAGUCCUCUAGAUCAACGAACCGAAAUAAGCCCCGAGGUCUUACAAAGAUAAUGCAGGGAAGGCUUCACAUCAUGGAAGUCACAGAAGAGGGCACAUCGGUUGCUCCCGAACAUGUGGCAAGAAAGUACGUGAGUCAAACCGGGGCAAUCGUAAGGGACAACAUGCCCAUCAGCAUCAGGGAAUGAAAGAGCAAUAGAAAUGAUCUAUACGCACCCCCGGAUACACAAAAGGAUAUGUUGUGGGCAAAUAUCAAGAAACACUUCACAUUUCCCAAAGGAUAUGUUGAAAAAUAUGUGAAAGCGUGGAUGUUGAAGAAGAUGGCCACCCAAUUCCAGACAUUCAAGAAGAUGUUGGAUGCCAACUUCAUCAAGAAGGGUCGAACUCCGGGUUUCAAUGAGUGGCCAAAGUUAAGGGACCACUGGGAGUCGUUUGUCGAAUACAAGACGAGCGAAGGUGGUGCGAGUAAGGUUCACAUCAAUGUUGCCAAUGCUAGCAAGGAGUACCAUCAUCAUCUAGGGCGACGUGGUUACAGCUCUGCAAUUCCCAGAUGGCGCAAGAUGGAACAAGACCUGAUCGAUCGGGGUAUCGUACCAGCAACUCUUGACUGGAUCGAUUGAAAAAUUGGUAUUAUGCUCAUGAAGGCAAUCUGAGCCAAGAGGAUCCGACAUUGGUCUUCAAUAAAACAAUACGUCAGAAGGUCGGAAGGCUUAUUAGGAACAUUGAAGAUGCUAAAGCUGGGAGGUUCAAGGUGGAUAGAGAGAAUGAUGAACUCACAUUGGCCCUCGGGACUGUCAUCUCUAGCACUUCCAGCUCCAGGACUAUCGUCACCACCGGGACCGUCGCUUCCUGCUCGAUCACAGUCUCCAUCUCCAGCACAUCCUGGUGGUGCGAGCGACGACGACAACAACACCCCUCCCUGCCCACCAUUGCCGGGACUAAGACCCGCAUUGAGUAAGGAACCUGCAACACCACUGAAGAAGUCGCGACCACCACCUUCAAGGCAAGUCAGCAAAAGAAGAAAGCAGAGAAGCCUAAACCCACUGAGAAGCCAGCGACUGAUAUGACCGAUGCGGAAAGAUGGAAGGCACUCAAAGAAGAAUGCAGGGAGUGGUUCAGCGAAGGCGAAGGUGAGAAAGUCGUAUGAAUCGAAUUCAAGGAUAUAUAUGAAGUGAACCAUCAGGAUGCCCUUGAUGUCUCUCUCAUCAGCGCCUAGGUUCUGUAAGUGUAUGUUUAUCUAUAAGUAAAUUUUGGCUCAUAUCAUUAUUUUUUUUGCGUGCGUCACCCUACUAACUUCGUCUUCCAUUUUAUGUAGGAUGCUAAUUCAGACGUGCCGCAUAGAAGCGUACUUCCAUGUUGGAUUCAUGGAUCCAUCCCUAGUUAACCAAAAGCCGAUACGGAAGUAGCUAGAGAAAACGUUGGAGGUGGUGUACAACCUCCUGGACAAACUAAACUACAGAAUAGGGGCAAUAUGUGAGGGUCUUGUAGGAUUCCUAGUGGACGAGGUGAUAAAUCCAUAAGGAGAAUAUCAUUCCAACGGACGAGCAUUAGACACACUGAGCAACACCUAGAUGGGAGGAUCCUAGGAAUGACCUCGACAGAUUUUGGUAUAAAUAGUAAUUGUGUAAAUACUAGUUUGAUUUGUAUAGGAAUAUACUAAGAAUUGUAUAUAUAGUAAUUGUACAAAUACUAGUUUGAUUUGUAUGAAUACUAGAUUGAUUUUAUUAUAAAAAAGUUUUAAGUCGUACGUGCAUGCGCCUACAAAGGCGCGGAUGCCUUUUAAUCCCAGUCGGAAAAACAAACUGGUACUAAAGGGGCUCGUGCCGCACCUGGCAUGACCACCCCUUUAGUCCCGGUUGAACGACCCAGGACUAAAGAUCUCCGCGUCUCAAAAAUUUUAUCUCGGAUGCUUUUUAGAGAGAUUUGAGGCCUAUCAACCAAGACUAAUAUCGAGUUUUCUACCAGUGAAACUAACUAACGUUCACAUGGUUUUGACAUUCACCUGCCAUUUGGUGUAGACAAGGGCACCCUAACAUAUGGUUAAUAUUAUUCUUGAAAGAAAAUCCUUUGAUUCAAAAUACUUCAAACCUAAUAAUACAAUACUUCUCACAUCUGAAAAAUAUGAGACGGCCCGACAGUAUUCUAAUCGACGCAAUAAUAUUUUGAGGGCAGCACUACUACAGCGACCCUCAUUCGUGCCGGUGCUGGGACUCCUAUCACGACCCUGAUACAAAUGAGGGUACAUUAUUGGUGCCAGUGCUAGAACAGCCACGAAUAACUUGCUAAACGUGCUGUUACACUCACUACAGGGACCAAGAAGGUAGAUAAAUUACACGACAUAGCCUUGGUUGCCGUGGAAGCGCCAAGAAGGGAGACAAAUUACAGGGACCACACCAUCAAGUAGAUAGUGACAAUAUGCAAAAGAAUACCCGCGCCUGUUAGCAUGUGAACUGACCACACCACGAAACGUGAUACACGGCAAGCGUACCAAGGCCUUGCUGUGCAGACUAUGCAUGGACAACACAUGGUACCUGACCGCUUUUGGCCUCAGACACAUCGAAAAACUGCAUCGUUCCACGUUGUACAUCCAUUGCUAGUUUAUCUAUAUUACAUAAUAUAUUAUUAGCUAUUUGAAUAGAAUGAACCAAUUAAAAAAUUGCGUUGUAUUUUUAGUACCGGCUGCAGGAUGGUGUUACCAACCAGUACUAAUUGGCCUGUAGGAGUGAUGGUUAUUAGACUUGGUACUGUUGUUAGCAUCAUUAACCUAAUUGUGCGCCGUAUGAAUUUGGGGAUGCAAAGCUAGCUCUCUAUGAAUGUGAGGGAUGGAAAGCUAGUUCUCUAGUAGUAAUUAUAUAUAUGACAGUCAAGAAAUCGAACACUAUGCUGCUACGAGUCACCAUCAUUUCCUUCAUUGACAAUCUGACAUAGGUGAAGCUGCUUCAAUAAUUUCCUUCGCGCAGUCGUGGAGCUUAUUGGAUUAUCACCAGGACGGGACACGGAAAUGGCCAGCAAUGAAGCUGAUUGCCGUCUGAGGAAGACUACAUACUUACCUAUGAAAUGAAGCGAUUGCAUAGACUAAUGAAGCAUUGCAUAUUUGCAUGUGAGUGUGGCAGAUAAUUCUGCAGGACAUGAUUGCAAUCCACGCACCAUCGAGAAGACUGGGGCGAUGGGGUUGCCUCAUCAAUAAUCACGUGGAUGCAUGCAUGCAUGUUCCCGCAACCGGACAAGGGUCUGAUAUAUGGCUAUAGUAUUACUGAGCCCACAUCAAUAAUUUCCACUGGUGUAUCGUGUGGGAAGAAUCAACAUACUACACCUCGAGUUCUUGGAACUAACUGACGUUCACAUGCAACCUCCACAAGGUGCUGUAUGCUUUUGACAUUCACCUGCCAGUUCGUGUAGAGAAGGACACCCUAACGUAUAGUUAAUAUUAUCCAUUUCAUGAGUAAAAUACUGUGAUUCAAAAAUACUUCAAAUCCCUUGAGACAAUACUUCUCACUUGACUAACCACUAACCAACCCCGAAACCCUAACUCAACUCCGAACCCUAACCCCUAACGGCAUAACCACUCCGUUUUGCCGGCGAGAUGGAGGAACUGGCUGGAAGGUAGAGAGGGCAGCGGUCCAGGGUUGAAAACGACGGGCGAGCGCAGUAACAUGUGGAGGAGGAAGUGCCACGUAUUCGUUCACCGCUAUUGGGCAGCGACACACGACACGCCCAAUAAGAUCUUCGCACGGUAGAAGGACGUCAUGUAUUCAAUAAUGUUAUUGGUCCCCCAUGUGCAGAAGGGCGCGCGCGUAUGGAAUAACAAGUAGGGACACUGCAACUAAUCUACUCUGCUCGUCCAGUCCCUAGCCUAUAAAUAGAUGCCAUGCUAGCUCUUGUUGUGCUCACAAUUAAUCCGAUUACACACGAGCUUCUCUCCCUGGCCAAGACACAACCAUAGUAUGAUGAAGAACAUGGCACUAGCCGGCAAUGGUAUGAAGAAGUUAAUCCUCGCUGUUCUCUUACUGUGUCUAGUUAUAGGGCAGAUACAAGUGGAAGCUAAGAGCUGCUGCCCAUCCACCACUGCAAGAAAUGUCUACAAUACCUGCCGUUUCACGGGUACAUCCCGUCCAACGUGUGCAAAACUGUCAGGCUGCAAAAUUAUCAGCGGGAACAAAUGCAAGCCCCCUAACGACCACCUCACCCUUGACCCGGACACUGGUAAAUAAUAAAUUUAUCUCACUUGAUUUCUUCGUGAUUUGAGUCGUUAAUGUAUUUUCCAUCUGAUGAAACGUAUUGGUUUUGCAUUGAAGAGGAAGUUAAUGUGCUUAACUUCUGCAAGUUGGGGUGUGCGUCGUCUGUGUGCAACAACAUCAACGCUGGUAAGCAACUUUUGCUCAGACAGAGAAAACAAUAAUCAUUAAUUAGCGGCAGCUAGAAUCCUAUAAUCUAAUAUAUAUAUAUAUAUAUAAUUUUAUCAGCUCUGGGAAAUGAAGAGGCGAACGAUGCCGUUGAGAGUUGCGACCAAGCCUGCUCUAGCUUCUGCAGCGUGCAUGUUGGCAGCGCCACCGUGGUUGCUUAAGCAAAUGCAUCCAACUAGAUCGUCCUUGUGCUGAAUAAUUGGAUAUCGUAUCCACUUAAAGCUGCCUUGUGUAGUACGUCUUUGUGUCUCUCUUUAUAUUCCAAUAAGGUCGGUGAUCUUGAUGCCACACACUCAGAUGUGUGUUCAUCUCCAGAUACUACUCCAUGCUACCUGCCCUUUGUGUUUUGUUCAAUAACUGGGUAUCAUAUCCCAGCCAGUAUGCCGUCUGUUUUGUGUUUGUUUCCUUCUAGUUCCAAAGGGGUCAUCAUGAUGUUACCUUCUUUCAAUAUGGUGCUUUGCAUGACUACUGUUGUAUGGUACCAUCUUGUGGCCAAUAAGUACAUCUUAUCCUAUGACCUUUGCUAUGACCCUUUGCAAAUAAGUAGAAGAUUGUUAUAAGCGUCAAUACUCCGUAUAAAUUGAUCGCUGCUGUGAGUUCCCUUUCAGCUUAUCGUAGGCAUACAUUAUUGCUAGCACGGUAAAGCCAACCAACACGAAUGAUGAAGUAAACGUAGCGGUACUUCUGUAUACCAACACCCUUACUUAAAUGUACCGGUGUCAUUCCCUACUGGCACAUAUAUUCUUAUAUGCUAGCCAGCUUGUAAAAUUAACCAAUUAAAAUAAUUAUUUCAAGAUAGAAAUAACUUAUCGGUUUCUGGAAGCAUGUGUAAUGUGAAUUCAAGGACUCGACGGAAGUUGAAUCACUUCAUCUAUAUUGCUUUCAGUAUUUUGGGUAACUAAAUUUAACAUUUGCACAUACAAAUGUUAAAGUACAAAUGUUAAAUCUAGUUACCCAAGCAGAAUAUGAAGAUAGUUUAUAGUAUAUAUAUACUAUAUAAAUCUAGUUAACAUUUAGUCUAAAUGUUAAAUCUAGUUACCUAAAAUCCUGAAAGCAAAAUGUAUAAAUAUAUAUCUUUUAAGGCAGUAUAAGCUUCGAUUCCUAUUGCUGCUCUGUUAAAUCUCAUCUUUCGUUGUGGCCCAACACUCUAGUAUGCAUGUUGCACCAAGCUUCUUUGAGCCGCUCUGCCCUCUGAUUUUGCUGCGUAGGGGAAUCUUUAUCAGGUUGGGCUACUUCCAGUUGUGCGAUGUAAAGAUUCGUAUUUUCUAGAAGGUAGACAAAAAACUCGCGUUCUCUUAAGGCAACAACCGGAAGAUUCUGCAGCGCACAGGGCAUACCAUUAUUGUAGAAACGACCUUUAGUACCGAUCUCCAACCCCCUUUAAAACUGGUUUUGCAACCGGUACCGUUAUGUCGGUCCUUUAGUACCAGAUCAAAUAAGUACCGGUUGGUAACCAGUAUCAACUUGUUUUGCGGCCAAAAAAAUAAAGAAAAAAACAGUCAGAAGGCUCGCACACACGCGCAUCACAUGAAAUAUGCGUGUGCGGGGUCCAUGGGAUUCGAACCCAUGAAAUCAAGCUGCACGCGACCCUUCGUUACCAUCUCACCUACAUAGCGCAUAUGCUUUCCUGAAGUAACCCGUGGAGGAGGCUUUAGUACCGGGUCAUAACACCACCCGGUACUAAAAAUGACUCUUCAGUACCGGGUCAUAACACCACCUGAUACUAGUAUCGGAUGGUGUAAUGACCCGAUACUAAAAGGCCUCUAGGGACCCUCAAAUUUGAACCCGGUACUAAUGCUAAUAUUAGUAGCGGGUCAAAGUGCAGCCAGAACUAAAGCAUGGGAUGAAAGGUCAUAUUUCUAGUAGUGUAUAGUUGUUGUGAAGGACUGACUUGGCUGUCCUCUCUCUUCUCCAUCCCCUUGGUCUUACGCCGCCGCUCGCACGCGAGCCGGUGCCCAACCAGAGGAGUGAGAGCUAGGGGCAGGUUGGGAGGUGGGGAUAGUGACUGGUGGCCAGGGUGAUGGUUGAUCCUGGUGGGGUUAGGGUUUCAGGGUUUUCGAGCUUCCUAUGGUCGGCGAACCUAGAGGAGAAGCUCAACAUCAGCUGCAACCCGCGAUGGUGGUGGUUUGGCCGGCGCCCGAGGCGAGGCAGCGCGGGAGUGCUGCCGGUGGGUUGGUGUUGGCACUCAUUAUUGACAACUAUUUUGUUCAUAAAAUAACACUCAAACUUGCUGCUGCUGCUGCUGCCAUCGCCACCCUAGCCAUAAUAUAAAGGCAAAAUUUGCUAAAGGACAUGCAAAAUGAUGCUAGUUUGCUGGCGGGCAUCGUUGACCUUGUAAUAUGCUACAAGACACUCUAGUUGUGUAUCAAUUUGCUGAAAGACAUUGCUAUGACUAAAAUAAUGUUUCUGGACUGAGUUGGAGAGAGAGAUGGAGUGAAAUGUCUGUUUUGCCCAUGACCCCACUGGUCAGAUCCUUCUUCUUCCACCCUCCUUUGUUCUUUCUUCAACCAUUACCCAGCUCCAGCGUGUUGCAGAUCUACGAGGGUGGCGGCCUGGGGCGAGGGGCAUCGCUCGCCCUUGGAGGAGCGCUGCGAGCGACGGCGCGGGGGCGGCAACAGCGCGUCAGAACCUGACUGUUCGUUAGCUCCUCUCGCUGCUGGGGAAGAAGGAGGGGGAUGGGCCAUGGACGGGGUUCCCUUGAAAACCUCAGCGUCGAGCUCGGGCGGCUACGCGCAGGCAGCACUAGGCUGCUUCACGGGGAGGGGGCGCGGCCAAUCAUUGGCACCCCACUGGUCCAAUGCUGAUGAAGAUGGUGCCAGCGUCGUGUGAGGACAUCUCAUCUCCUCGAGUUCCAUGGCCAGCACAGGUGAGCUGCCGCUACCACAAAACAGAGGUUUCGUGAGAGUCAAAAAACCUUAUGAAAAUAGCUAAAACCAUCAUGAAAAUAAUCCGUGACAUGACACUCUCACGAAAAUCCUCUCACAAAUAUGGUGCCAUGAAAAUACCAUUUUCAUGAGAGUGAACUGUCAUGAUUUUAUAAGCGUCAAUACUCGGUAUAAAUUGACUACUGCUGUGAGUUCCCUUUCAGCUUAUCGUAGGCAUACAUUAUUGCUAGCACGGUAAAGAGAACCAACACGAAUGAUGAAGUAAACGUAGCGGAACUUUUGUAUACCAACACCCUUACGUACCGGUGUCAUUCCCCACUGCCACAUAUAUUCUUAUAUGCUAACCAGCUUUGAAAAUUAAGCGAUUAAAAUAAUUAUUUCAAGAUAGAAAUAACUUAUCGGCUUCUCGAAGCUUGUGUAAUGUGAAUUCAAGGACUCGAUGGAAGUUGAAUCGCUUCAUCUAGAUUGCUUUCAGGAUUUUGGGUAACUAAAUUUAACAUUUGCACACACAAAUGUUAAUGUACAAAUGUUAAAUCUAGUUACCCAAGCAGAAUAUGAAGAUACUCUAUAGUAUAUAUGUACUAUAUAAAUCUAGUAAACAUUUAGUCUAAAUGUUAAAUCUAGUUACCUAAAAUCCUAAAAGCAAAAUGUAUAAAUAUAUAUCUUUUAAGGCAGUAUAAGCUUCAAUUCUCUGUUAAAUCUCAUCUUUCGUUGUGGCCCAACACUCUAGUAUGCAUGUUGCACCAAGCUUCUUUGAGCCGCUCUGCCCUCUGAUUUUGCUGCGUAGGGGAAUCUUUAUCAGGUUGGGCUACUUCCAGUUGUGCGAUGUAAAGCUUCGUAUCUUUUAGAAGGUAGACAAAAUACCCGCGUUCUGGAAGAUUCUGCAACGUGCACGUUGGCGCUGCCACCGUGGUUGCUUAAGCAAAUGCAUCCAACUGAAUCGUCCUUAAGCUGAAUAAUUGGAUAUGGUAUCCACUGCUUAAAGCUGCCAUGUUUAGUACGUCUUUGUUUUUCUCUCUUUAUAUUCCAAUAAGGUCGGUGAUCUUGAUGCCACACACUCAGAUGUGUGUUUAUCUCCAGAUACUACUCCAUGCUACCUACCCUUUGUGUUUUGUUCAAUAACUGGGUAUCAUAUCCUAGCCAGUGUGCCAUCUGUUUUGUGUUUGUUUCCUUCUAGUUCCAAAGGGGUCAUCAUGAUGUUACCUUCUUUUGAGGUGUCUAUGAUGACUUCGUUAAUAUCAAUAUUAACCAAUUCAAUCUGUCUUAACUAUUUGUAAGGGGUAUGAUGUAUGCAUGAUUAUAACAAUGAUUGCGCAUACAAUCGCCGCCAAAGAAACGGUCAAUACCAUUAAGACAUAUUACAGACAAUUCUCAUAAUCUAUAAUGAAUAUACAUAUUCACUACUGCAGAAGACUGUCAUUUGUAUCGGCUCAUACGUGCCAGGGCAAAGGUCACCCUUGCAUUAAGUACAUUUGCACGGUAAAGACAACCAACACGAAUAAUGAAGUAAACAUGCCGGUGCUUUUGUACACCAACACGCUUACUUAAAUGUACUGGUGUCAUUCCUCACCGGUAGCCGGCUUGAAAAUUAACCAAUUAGAACAAUUAUUUAUUGUAUCGGUGUGAUUUUUGACCUAUUGGAAUAUGAAUUUGACCGUUACUGCAUUCGUCAAGACUCAAGAGAGAAAUAACUGAUCGGCUUCUUAGAGCGUGUGCAAUGUGAAAUCAAGGACUGGAUGGAAGUUGAAGCGCUAGCACUAGUAGAGAAACGACUUUCCAUCCACCCCCUUUUGUCCCGGUUUAAAGUUGGCUCGGGAUAAAAGGUUCACCAACCGGGACUAAAACUCAGUCACUGGUGGGAGGCUCACCAACCGGAACCUUUUAUCCCGGUUGCAAAGGCUAAUGGGAAAAAAAGACUCUGAGAGGCCUUUUAUCCCGGUUUGAAACACCAACCGGGAUAAAAGACCCCCCUUUUAUCCCGGUUGGUAACACCAACCGAGAUAAAAGGGUCAAGAGCCUUUUAUCCCGGUUGGAAACACCAACCGGGAUAAAAGACCCCCUUUUAUCCCGGUUGGUGUUUCAAACCGGGAUAAAAGGGCCCCCACGAGGUGACUGGAAGGUGACUGGAAGGGGAUUAAAUCGUGGGGGACCCUUUUAUCCCGGUUGGAAACACCAACCGGGAUAAAAGGGGGUCUUUUAUCCCGGUUGGUGUUUCCAACCGGGAUAAAAGGGUCCCCCACGAGUUAAUACAAAAGGAUAGUAUCCCCUACAUAGUCAGAUGUGGUGUGUAGGUGGGAUGGUAAGGAAGCUACGCGCGAGCUCCGGAAUUUUUUUUUUUUUUUUUUGCAGCGUCGGCGCUCUCUACCCUUUUAUCCCGGUUGGUAUUACCAACCGGGAUAAAAGGGGGUCUUUUGUCCCGGUUGAGUGACCCGGGAUAAAAGACCCCCCCUUUUUUCCCCGGUUAGUUUAUCCCGGAUGCAUUUUCGGGAUAAAAGCACCCUACCAACCGGGAUUAAAGCUCACUUCUCUACCAGUGUAGCUUCAUCUUCCGCUGCAAGUUAAUUGCUUGGAUAAGAAGUUGUAGCCGCUGCAAGUUAUAAAUAGUCCCGCUGAUGCUGUGCUCCGAAGUCUAUACUAUAUAUGCGGAAACUAGAUUGCUUUCAGGAUUUUGGGUAACUAAAUUUAACAUUUGUACAUAAAAAUGUUAGUUUACGAAUGUUAAAUCUAGUUACCCAAGCAGAACAAGAAGAUAGUAUAUAGUAUAUACUAUAUAAAUCAAGUUAACAAUUAGUCUAAAUGUUAUAUCUACUUACCCAAAAUAUUGAAAGCAAAGAAAGAAUAAGUAUAUAUCUUUUGUUGGAAAAUUGGUCCACGGAGAGGCCCAUUUAGGCCUCGUUCGUUUCACCGGGAUGGGAUUCCAGUCAGGAUUACUUCCAAGUUCGGUUUGAGUGAUUCCACCCGUGUCACUCAAUCCGGCUAGGAUUCAUUCUAUGGGUGAGGAGGUAUGGUUUCAAUCCAGGCCAUCUAAUGUAGAAGGAUUCCAAUCCAGGCCGGUUUUCGUUCCAGGCCAGACUAAAACGAACAACACUUUCAAUGCAAGUCUGGUUUCAAACCGGGCCAUUUCAAACCACCCGGAAUGGACCUCGUUCCAGGCCAAUCCGGUGAAAACAAAUGAGGCCUUAAUGGAAUCCCAAAGCAAGAGUUCAGUGGCAUUCUAUAGUCCCAUGCUGCUAGUUUGAGUUGGUCGAAGCCAACUUAAAUAGGAGAGCUCUCUCACUUCUCUAAAUACGUAACUGAAGGAGAGAAGGGGGCUUGGGUUACACAACGCACGCACGCACGCAUAUUUGCGUUCUUUUCGCGUAACCAACCGCGUGACUUGAAACUUGCGACGUAGCGUGCUGCUAAGUCAAGUUGAUAUAACCUUUUUGCCGUUUGCAUGUAAUCUUUUGACAACGGUCAUUGGAGGUGAUAAGCACGCAGUCAAUACCUUAAUCUUGAGUUAAUAGGGUGGUUACUACUGCCAAUUAGUGGGGCAAUUUUGUAGGGGAAACGGUUAGCAGAGGGCUACCGUCUUCUCUAUAAGAAGUUCUGGAGACGUCCAGGAACACACAUGUACAUGUGAGAGACCCACAAAUUCCUUCCCUUCUCCCUUUUCCAUGUGGUGAAGUGUGCUGUGGUACUGAGCUGCUUGAUCUCGCCGCUCUUCUCCUUGGCAUGCACCGAGGAGGAGGGUGAGCGGUAUCUCCGAGCUAUUGCCGUCAGGAAGCCUGCACGAGGGACAACAAAAAGUUUUUGGGUAGCGCAACUGCCAGCACAACUCUCCCUCCGCCUCUUCUUCACGGUUGAUGGCCACCACAAGCAUAAACCUCGCCUUCGCAUCCACGCAAAAGGGUCGCUGGGGUGCCUUCUUGCAUCGCUUCUCAGCCUCCUUGACUUGCGGCCAGCCAAGAACUGCGCCACCACCUCGGGUGCACGCCACCACUCCAGGGCUGCUACCCCAUGCCUGCGGCCGCCGCCGGCCACCACGCGUGUGCAACCGCGUCGCACCGCUUCCUUGCUUUGUGCCACCACUGCUGCUGUACCACCAGCUCCACCACCUUGGGCUGGUCGCCAGAGUGACUGAUAACUUAUUAUCUGUAACUACUAUUAACUCAGGGAUACAUGCGUCUUUUGCUUCUCCUACUAAUAUGUCCUAAAAUAUCUAGGAUGCCUUAUAUUUCUGGACAGAGGAAGUAUUUGAAUAAAAUGAACCAAUUUAAAAAAAUGUGUUGUACACUACUACAGAAAGACCUAUCAGUGUCAAACCCAAAAAUGUUGUCACCGCCAGUUUUGGGCAUCAUUGGUGAAAGGUUGGCGGUGAUGGGCUUUCCCUUCAACAACGGCACUGGAGCCGACGGUGAUUGACAUUAGAAAACAAAAAAGGGGACCCUACCUAGCCACCCCUGCAACCCGGCCGGCCGUGCCUCCCCUCAUCCCCACCACCUCGCCUCCCCAUGACCCCCCGCCGGCGCCCUUGCGCCUAGCCCCCUCAACUGCCCAGCCGGCCACCCUCAUCACGAGAGAGAGGUGCAUGUUGUAUAAUUGCGUGAAUUUUUUAAUGUUUAAUUUCAUGUAAGUUCCGUGUAAUAAAUUGUACAAGUUUUAUUGUAUAUAUGAAUUCCAUAUAUAUAUAUAUAUAUUUAUAAUUUAAUGUAUGGUUUCAUGUGUAUAUUUCAAUCAUGUGUAUAUUUAGUAGAUUGCCGAUUUUCUUUUUCUACUAGACAAGGGUUGAUGUAUAAUUACGUGUAUAUGUUUAUUGUACGGGCAAUUAGGACAAGUUUUGUAUAAAUUUCUUUUAUUUGAUGGUUGUUGUAUGGUUUCAUGUAUAUACAUUUAUUGUACUACUUUAGACAAUUUUUAAUUUAAUGUUUCUAUGAUUAGAUGUGUGUAUAACUAAUUGUAUUAUUAGUUAAGAUGGGAGCUAAAGAGGAUGAAAGGUAUAUAAUGGAGCAGAUUAUUGCUAGCUCAAACGUUGCAAGAACCUACACCGAGGGUGAGGGUAGCUAGGUGGACAUGUACCUCAACAUGUCCAGUGAUGGCAAUGACGAUGAGGAGCACGAGCAUGACAUCUAUGAUAAUGCGGAACAAGACAUUGCAGAAUUGGAAGGUUCUAAUGAGGUGUGCUUCAUGUUGACAAUCUAGUUGGCUUUUUUUCGUUGGUCACACCUUAGUUACCAUAGAACUUCGUCUCGGGAGAAGAUUGGUGGUGGUAUGGUGAUUGGAAUUUUAUUUCCACGAAAUCUGAUUUCCAUCGAAUCAUAUCCCUUGUAUUUAUCUUCUUUUUAUUUGUGAGAGCAUCUUCUUUAUGCUUGCAAAACAAUUCAAGUGCACAUACUACCCCUAGGGUGACGAUUGGGAGUAGAAAUAAUUGCCAACAAAACAACACCACAUCCUAAGAUUCUUAACUUGUGGCAUAAUUAGUCUAGUAAAAAGAAAGAUAAAAACCUAAUGGGUGUAUGUGAGUGCAAUGUGUAUAUGCAUAUGAGUGGAAGGCAUAUAAGCAAAGACAAUAUUUACACAUAGUUCUAAACACCAUGUUUACAGCUAGGUUGCUGAAUUUCUCCAUAGCCAUAGAGAUUAAUUAACCAAGGUCAAAACACGAUGUCUAUCCCAAGAUCAGUAAUUAUUUAUAGCACAAGAAAAAGAAAGCGCAUUGCAAAGUUUAUAAACCAACCAAUACAGCAUGAAAACAAGAUGAAUAGCUAGCAAGGUUUAUUAAACUGAAUGAUGACGGUCUGUAAGCAAGUUUAAACACCAUCUUUACACAAGAUUGCAAAUGGAAAAUGCCCAUAUGAAGCACUAACAUGGAUAUGAAAUCAUUCAUCAUAAAGCGUAAAGAACAACCAAGCCAACCAUAUGCAAAGCAUGAAUGGAAUGCAAUGAAGGUGCAAGAGAACAUUUUUGGAUGAACACAUUAUGAUGAUGGCAAAAUGCAAUGCAUGCAGAAAAAAUAAAUAUGAACAUGAAUAUGAUGAUCAGGGGCGGACCCACUAUUGUGGCCUGGGUAUUCCUCGGCAUACCCAAUAUUUUUGGGAAAAUGUUUAGUAGUUUUUAAUGGCAUAUACAUGUAUAAUAUAGUUUAGGUGUUAAAAUUGAUAUUCACAGCUAUUUUGGGCUCCAAUUCGCGUCCAAACCAACCUGGCCCACAGACCGCACCCGGCCGCCCGGCCCAUCGGCCCAUCUUGUCACUGAUCCUCCCACCACCACACUCAGCCCGUCAGUUAGUCAGGUCCCGAGCUCCUGCCUGACCUAGUCCGCUACCACCGCCAGGCGCCAGGCACAGCUGUACACGCCGCCCCCGUCCACCCACGUCCGCCGCACGGCCGCGUCGCGCCCCCCCCCGGCGCCCGCUGCUGCCAGAACCCAUUAGGCCUCCACCGGCAAGUCCACCCACAGUCCCGCGCGACGCGGCAGCCUCUUGGCUCUCGGCGCUCGCGGCGCGCCAAUGCCUGCGCAGCCCCAGCAGGCGACUGCCCCCCCCCCCCCCGCAUCGGGCCUCGGCCCCUCCCCAGCUCCCCCUCCCCCCUCCACCAGGACUGCCUGCUGGCCCCCACCGCGAGGUAAUCGAAAUGGACUGCUCAAUCUCUCAAUCUGUUGACAUGAUGCACACGGUUGCAAAAAUAGAUGUGUCAAAAUAGAUGUAUUGCCAAUUGCUAUAGAUGCAUAUGGUUGACAUGAAGAAGUCAAAAAUGACAUUUGGUUCCUUGUAGGCAGUCAAAAAUGAAGAAGUCAAACAAUAUUGAUCUGAAAUCAAUGCGGGAAAGGGCUACGAAGACACACGGGUAGAUUCCCUUGUGAACUUUUUAUGUCGUUCGUCUAAAUAUAUUUUUGCAAUGGGCAUACCCUACUCUGAAAUCCUGGGUCCGCCACUGAUGAUGAUGGUCUAAACAUAAAACAAGCCUAGAUUAAUUAGCUACAACUGAAAUUAAGCAAAGGUUAAUGUCAUUGACCCUAGCUCUAUCCUAGCUUUUACUAAAGUCCCGGCACAUAUAGUGGUUGGGCCCACUCUCUCUACUUCCCUCUCUGCUGCAUGCACACACACGAGCAACUGGAGGCCCAACAAAGCCCAGAAGGGUUCGGCCGAACCCGUCCGAUCCAGUCUGAGCGCCGCUCCCUCCCAGCCUUCGCGCAGAUGCUCCUCCAACGUUCCUUGACCCCUCCCUCAGUGUCCCAUUGGGUUUAACAUUGUAGGAGAGGAGUCCCUUUUUUAAAAUCUCAACCACCUCCUCUCCUCAUUCACUCCACUCUCAUCUCCAUCAAACUCACCAAGAUCCACAUCGGAAAUACCUGCUUACCACCAUGGCUGGCAAAGCCCUCGUCCCUUUCACCAACUUGGGCUUGACCAUUGAUCUCGAUGGGAAAAUCACUCCAGCAAAUGUCAUUGUCCCUGUCGGCGAUCUGGCGAUGGAGGAGGUCCAGGCACUAGAGGUCGAGCCCCUAGCCAUCAUACCGCCCAAGGGGUAAAGCAGGAGCAUGACAGGCGCUGCUAGGGGUUCAGCCGAACUCCCAGUUCAGCCAAACGAGGACGGCGUCGCCUCGGCCUCCCGCUCGACUGCAUGCUUCCCCUUGCCAAGGAGGACUCCAGAACAGCGGGCGCGUGCGUCAAGUCCCUACAAAAGGCUGAAAUACAAUGAAUAUCCAGGGUCACCCUUGAAGAUGGGUGAACGCUACGCCGGGUCCUUGUUUGACUAGUACGGCGAUGCAUUCUGCCACCGCUAUGUCGUUGUCGAGAUUAGCGGAUCAAGACUUAGACUAGUAAAUUUCUUUUAUGCGCGUAAGGCUUCAGAUGGUGGCGUGGGAGACAUGGGUUUUAUACUAGUUCGGGCAAUGGAAUACCCUACGUCCAGUGUCUGGAGCUGCUUGUGUUGCCCACGCGGGGUUCUGUAGUAGGGGUUACAGGUGUGCGAGAGAGGGAGCUAAUCCCAGGUCUCUUAGGCGUGUUCCGGUCCUCUAGAUGGGAGAAGUGUGUUCUGUUUGCUUGGGAGUAUCGGUUGUGUCUGAGUUGUCUCCGGAGCCUCCUCCCGUCUCAGGUCCCCGAUUCUCCUUUCAUAGCACAAGGAGACCAUCGGGGUUACAGACGAGACCGAGCGUGGGGAGGAGUAAAGAGAUAAACAUAGCUAGGUAAAAAUACAACAAGAAAGGGGGGAACCAAGUUUCUAGGUCACCGGCGUCCUCGCCGGCCUUCGACUUCCGCCGGCGCAUUUGUCGGAGGAGGGUGGCCGCCAUCGCGUUCUGUCGAUGGCUUCCUCGGUGACUGUAGCCACCGGGCGUGAUGAUGGCAUUUCGUCGUGACCCUUUGUCUGUUGGGGGAGGCGGCGGAUCCUGCCAUUCUGCUGACGGCUCGCGGAGUGCGAACGUCGCAUCCCUGCCGCUGGGCACGCGGGGCGCGAGAACGUGCGAGGCUUCCCCCUACCCCAGGCGGCGCAGGCCAUGAGUGCCCUGUGGCAAAUCGGAGGAGGCCGCAGCUACUGUAGCUUGUACUGUGCAGCCACGUAUGGGUACUUGUGGCAGGUUGCGUGGUGGAUGCGGAUAUCCUUCUCCCUGACAGAUCUGCGGCGCAUUUAUGGCGAGAUCGACAUGGGGACCCACAAGACCCGCGCCCAAGGCGGAUACUUGUCUGGAGGGCCCGGGUUAGCCUGACCCCCUACGCUUGGGGUCGGGCGAGGCGGAGACUUGCGGCGGGGCGUCGGACGCUCCCGACACUAGACCUGCGGUCGCGCAAGGCGGAGCUUGGUCUUCCGGGGGUCGGGGGUGCCGGACCCCAGGAUGCGGGGUCGGGCGAGGUGGAGCGUAAUUCUUGCCUCCCAUGUUGGGCCGAUGGCAGUCUUUGUUACCUCUAGUGGGCUUGGGCCUUUAUGUUUUGUUGUUUCCAUGGGCUUCGAGAGGUCGUUAAUAUUUCCCCCCAACAGUAGCCCCCGAGCCUGUGGUGGAGUGGGGGCGCUCCUCCGGAGGCUACUAUCAUCGCCCCUAGGGAAUCCUCGCAGUUGAUCCGGGAUAGGAGGUGUUGUUUGCACGGCUUGACCGAGGGGGUCGAUUAGGCGACGCAUCCUGUGAGCGACUCGGUGCGGGAGGGUUUCUUGUUGUUCCCUUCUGUCUGAGAGCCUUAAGUCGAGACCACCUGCGUGGCCUUUGGUUGCAAGGCCAGCCCCCGAGCCCCCGCACGUUGCAGGGGACCGGUCGGAGGCUAGGUCGACUUUUGUUCAUUACCCUCAAGCGUCUGUUCGCUAGGACGGAGGGGGCGAGCCGUGCCAUGCUAUCCUCAUCGGACGAACCAUGGUGCUCAUUGAGUUACUAACGGGUUGAUUCGAGUGGGAUCCCGGUCCCCGUUCGGGGGGGGUCCGGCUUGGGCCAAGCUGGUGGCGUACCCCAGGCUCCGGUCGGCCAGUUCAUAUAGUUCCUGAGUCCGUUCGGUCGGACCGGGGGCUCAUUGCCUUUCUUCGGGGAAAAACCAUGAACUUUGAUGCCGGUCCAGACUCGAAUGUGAGAUUGAGACGCCCGGGGCUGUCGCGUGCCCGGGUGAUGGCCGCUAGCGGACCCGUCUCCUCUCACCCCUCACUCGGGGGUAUCCUGAGGCGGCUGUCGAACCCGUGGCGGGCCAGCCUUCGAACCUCUGGAUCGUAAUGGGCCGUAGGGGCGUUUUCAGCCCCGUAUCCCUUUUUACCUUUUGGUGGGCCUUGGGCCGAAUCAUGGAGGAGGUCGGGCCUUGGGCCGGAUGCGGAGGAUGUCGUGCCUUGGGCCGGAUGUGGGGGACGUCGUGCGUGUCUUCCGGGAGACGAAGUGGUGGAGGGUGCCAACCCGCGAAUCGAGGGAGGAGGGGAUGUUUCUACUGCAGGUCAUGCGCACGGUUUCCGAAAAGGCAGCGGGCGUGACGGGACGUACCUCGCGCCGCAUUUAUUGCGAUGGGGGCGUCUGUUCUGCUUCCCUCGUGCCUUCCCUAUAAAACGAGGACUUCGCCUCGCCGGUUCCGCCCGCCAUCUACCUUCAAGCCUUUUCGCCUCCUCGCGCGCCCUUAGCUUUCCUGUGCCCGCUUCGUCUUCCUCCGCCCAGUGCCGCGCCCUUUCUCCCCAUCCGCCGUCGAGUUCUUCUCCCUCCGGCGAUGGGAUCCUGGGCGCGUUCCCACUUCGGCCCCUCACGCGCCGAAGGCCUAGUGAGGAAAGGCCUCCUUUGCGAGAGGACGGAGACGGAUGAGUGGGGGUUCCCUGAGAUGGAAGAGGUGCCGACUCCGCCCACCGGCUACGUCGUUUCCUUUGCCCACUUCCACGAGAGGGGGUUUGCGACUCCGCCGAGCCUCUUCUUCCGCGGGCUUUUGUAUUACUACGGGCUUGAGCUGCAGCACCUCAACCCCAACGGGAUUCAGCACGUCGCGGCGUUCGUUGCGGUGUGCGAGGGGUUCCUGGGCAUUGAGCCCAACUUCUCGCUGUGGAAGUACUUCUUCACGGUCAGCCUAUACCAGAAGGCCGAGAAGAGGGGAAGCCAGCAGCGGUCGACCCCGGUGCCGAUAGGGUGCGUCGGAAUCCACCUCUGCCAUACUCGCGCCAAGGAGUAUAUCGCGAUGAAGACCGCGGCAUCCCACAAGGGGUGGCACCAGCAAUGGUUCUACGUGAAGAACUACUCCAACCCCCCCUGCCGGAGUUCACCGGCCGCAUUAUUGAAGCGGCGCCGGAGGUGUGGGUGUACGGCCCGGUGGAGAAGGAGAAGAAGCGGAUCACCGGCCUGCUGCAGGCCAUCGAGCACCUGAAGGAGAGGGGACUGACCGGAGCCGGAGUCAUCGGGGCGUACCACGCCCGGCGGGUGGCGCCGCUGAUGCUCCGGGUCCGCUCGCUCGCCGACAUGACCCCCGGUGCUCUCACCGAUGGCACUGUCCUCGCGACGGGUGCUCUCGCUGCCUCCGAGAUCCGGCAGCGGAUCCGGGAGGCGCUGGAGGACAAGGACGCCGAUUACCCGGUGCCCGGCCACCCUCCGAUGCGCCCGGACGAGAAUUUCAUUGAUCUGGUAAGGAUUUUGCGCGCCAGUUUCCCUCUCUUGCGUUUCUUGGUAUGCCGUUCUGACGCGAGGCCCUCUGUGUUUGCAGGGUAGCAUGACCCGGGUCGUCGACUUGCGUCCGCCAGUGUCGGAGGACGCCGAGUGGCGGUAGCAGAACCGUCUCCUUGCCGAGAAGCAAAAGUGACGCAAGGACAAGAGACAGCGAAGAAGAAGAAGAGGGCCGCCAAGGAGUUCCAGCGGCGGCGGUGGGGAUAGGUCGUGUCGGAUGACGAUGACGAUGAGAAGGAGGAGGAGGAUGACGAGGAGGAGGAGGAGUUUAUCCUGUCCCCCCGGUCAGGGGCGCUUGUUAUCCGGGAGCCGCGCUCCCAAGCGGCCAUGGGGGACAAGGCGGGCGAGCUGCCUGCCCGGACCCGAUCCUGCGAAGCUUUGGGGGCGCGCCCCAGGGGUCGGCGCAGAGCGCCCCCCGGGGGUCGACGGAGCCGACCCCCAUCCCUACACCUGCAGCCCAGGAGCAGAGGAGCAGCGACAAGCGGCCGUUGCCAGAUGCCCCGGGGUCGGCGUCCAGCUCAGAGGCGAAGCGCGCGCGCCGCCCUUGCGCUGGGGGAACGUGAGUUGAAUUUCCUUGCGAAUCUCGUUCCUUUCCAUGCAUUGUGUUUGUUUCCGCUGAUGCUGUUUGUUGUCUCACAGCACCGCCCCUCAAGGCCUUGUCCCGCCGUUGGCGCCAAAGAAGGCGUUGCGGUGUUGUCGCCUCUGCGGGGCGGACCGCGGCUCCGCCGGCGGCGAGUGGCGGGGUCACUGGUGAGACCGCGGGUCCUACCGCGGAGGUGGCCCCUGCGGCGGCAACCGGUGGAGUGGUGCCACCGCCGGGCAUGGGACAGGGUCUGGACCCCGCUCCGUCCUCCGCCUCUUCGGCCGACCCCGCGGUGCAGAGUAUCGCUCCUGGGGGCCCUCAGGCCGGGGAGGUGAUUGACCUCGACGCCGACGAGGUGGAGGAGACGGCGGCGGUGGAGACGGGGGCGGUUGCCCCAGCGGCCAUGACGGGGACGACGACGGCGACGGGGGAAGGAGAGUCUACCCCCGCGGCCACGGCGGGGACAGUGGCGACAGAGGAGGCGGGGACGCCCGCCCCGGCGGCUGCGACGGAGGAGGCGGCGGUGACGGAGACGGGGGCUUCCGCCCGGGAAGCCACAGCCGAGGUGGCAGCGGCGACGGAGGUGAAAGUGCCUGUUCUGGAGGCCACGGUGGGGGUGGGGACGCCUGCCUCGUGGCCACGACGGAGGGCGAGGCGGCCCCAGGGACACUUGCUCCGGCACCCGCGUUGGAGGCGGUGGCGCCGACGGGUUGGCCCGUGGCGGCCUCGACGGGGGCGGGGGUGCGUGCGCCGGGACCGUCGGUGAGGCCGGCGACUUCCGGGAUGGUGGUGCCCGUCUUGACGGCGGCGGCGGCGCGGUCGGCCCCCGCCCUUGCCUCUACCACUCCCAUUCCCAAGGCGUGGAGCGGAUCCGUCCUGCGUUGGUCGUCUCGUGACGACCCGCAGAGGCCCCUCUUCACGUUGGAUGAUGCCACAGAAUGGGGCAAGUGGCAGGCGCUGCAGGGCGGACUCGCUAACGUCCGCGCCGCUCUAUCUUCGGCGUUGGGGGAGCUGGACGGCGUCAUCUUCCCCGGUGGCCGGGUAUGGUGCUUUCUCCGUUGGUUAUUUUCUUCCCGUUACUUCGUCCCUGAUGGCACAUUGUUCUGCAGGCCCUCCAAGAAUGUAGCCGGGGAAAAUCUGAUUUCCUUUGGCUCGAGCAGGGGCUCUGGGAGCGCUUCAACUUGGAGUUGCAGCGGACCGGGGAGCUGACCAUGCAAGUCGCCACCGUCUAGCAUGUCAUCGACGAUCUGCGAAGGCACGAGCAGGCGGCACAGGAGGACGCGCGGCGGGCGGAGGCCAAGUUCCAGGUCGUUGCCGAAAGGGCUCGCUGCGACCGCGAGGAGUUCCAGGCCGUUGCCGAAAAGGCCCGCCACGACGCUGAGGAGCUCGCACGGCUGAAGGUGCAGCAUGAAGCUCUUCAGAAGAGCGGCAGAGGGCCUGGCAGGACCGGGACGCCGAGAAGGUCCGGAAGGAGGAGGCUGAGAAGGUGGCGGCCAACCUUGGGGCUGAGGUCAGCCAGCUCCAAGUGCAAGCGCGAGAGCUUCAGGCCUCCGUGGCCCAGGGGCUCGACCAGGAGCGCCAGCUGAAGGCCUAAUCCGAGGGUAUGACUCUGUUUAUUUCUUUGUCUUUGUGAUGUUGCGGUGAUAUUUUAUUUGGCGGGUUCUUCUGGAUGAUCCUUGCAGAUGAGCUCAACUGGCUGAGGGAGGUGCUUGACGCGGAGCGCGCUGAGCACGGCGACCUGCGGGACGCGGUCCGCGUCAUCUGUGACUUCCUUAGUGUGGUCCAGGGGGAGGGGACGAGCUCGCUGGCGGCUCGUGUCCUCGGGACGUACCGCCGGACCAGCGAGAUCGCCCUGGAAGCGCUUCGCACCGGCUUGAGGCAAGCCUUUGGGGUCUUCGGCUCCCACUAUUCCGGCAUCAACUUCGCCGGGAUGAGCGGGGGAUACGCCACCGGCUACUACGAGGCCGAGCUGGAUGAGAUCGACGUGUCGGUGCUCAGCCCGGCGGAGGCCUUGGUGAAGCUCCUCGAGGAUGAGGCCGUCCCGCCCGAAGAUCCCCGGACGAGUUAACUAUAUCGGGCUGGCGCCCCAGAUGUAAAUACGUUAGGGAAAGACUUGUUUUUUGUGAGGGCCGUAGAGGCCUUUUCUAUGAAUUGUCGUAAAAAAGUUUUUGAUUCCCUUUCUUGCUUUUUGGACUUGGAAAGUUUAGAGCACGUUGUCGGGCGUGUCAGUAAGCUUUGAUGAGCGAAGGCACCGUAGCCGCUGGGGCGUCGUUUUUUUUGCAGUCCGAUCAAUCUUGCCUGAACACCGUUCGUGCACUUUCUCCUUUUUAUGCCCAAAAGUUCAGAAAGAGGGUCGGCUCGGAAAGAGAAAGCGUUUUGAGAGGGUGUCAAGUGGCUUAGGUACUUGCGGCAGGUUGCGUGGUGGACGCGGAUAUCCUUCUCCCUGACAGAUCUGCGGCGCAUUUAUGGUGAGAUCAACAUGGGGACCCACAAGACCCGCGCCCAAGGCGGAUACUUGUCUGGAGGGCCCGGGUUAGCCCGACCCCCUACGCUUGGGGUCAGGCGAGGCGGAGACUUGCGGCGGGGGGUUGGACGCUCCUGACCCUAGACCUGCGGUCGGGCGAGGCGGAGCUUGGUCUUCCAGGGGUCGGGGGCGCCUUACCCCGGGAUGCGGGGUCGGGCGAGGCGGAGCGUAAUUCUUGCCUCCCAUGUUGGGCCGACGGCAAUCUUUGUUACCUUGGGUGGGCCUGGGCCUUUAUGUUUUGUUGUUUCCAUGGGCUUCGAGAGGUCGUUAAUAUUUCCCCCCAACACUAUGAGGAGGACUUGUGGGCAGAAAGUCAGCUACCACAAACUUGCCUCUGAAUAUUUGGAGUGCAAACAUUGGAUGGUGGUUGUGGAGAGCCCCAGCCAUACCUCGCACCCGUGGAGAGGUAAUUGUCGGAUUGCUUGGUUCGUCUCUAGAAUGCGACAAGGUCAGGCGCCACCUCUCACUGCUGCCAGUCAGAAGGCCGAGGGGCCAGUUUCAACAUAGUAAUGAGAAUCUCCGAAGGCCAAUAUGGUUAAGCAGCUAACCUCCAUGAUCAUAGACUUACGUUUAGAAAAUAGGAGGCUUAGCGAUGCGUUAACAGAGCAGAAGUUAGAAACAGAAGAACUUAAGGACGACUUCCGUGUCCUCCGCCUUGGUCUUUGUGCUAAGAUAAAGCGCUUGUACAAUGCCACGGGGAAUGACGGUCUCUACGAUGCAGCUCAAUAGACGUGCCCCUUGUAUCCUUUCCUUUAGGCACUUUAGAAUAUGUUUAUUUGUUUUCCUUCAUUUUAAUUUCCAAUAGAUUGUUAGCGCCUCCAAUUUAAUUUCAAUAAAGUGUAGACUCACCGGUCAUCCAACUUGAUGGAGUCCUUUUGUCACCUAGUUGUCUUUGGAAGAAGUAGCUGGGUACAAAAUAAGUGUGGGGGAGAGCCACAGACUCUCUAGAGCUGAAACAAUGCACAACACCCACAAAUAGAGAAAACCACGCUGCACCAGCACGUACGUGAAAGUGGAGCCAGAGCUGGACCCAUAGGGGUUUGGCCAACCCAAGGGGUGGCCCACUCGGGCCAUCUUCAUCCACCGCGUCGGUUUGUGUCUCUUUACCCCUGAUCUCCCUGAUUCAUGAGUUUGAAUGAAUUUUAAAUCUGAUCAACUAAUUCAAACUCAACUAAAAUGAAUCAACUGCUCCACCUGCUCUACAUGUUUUCUAUGGUUGGCUUGCAUAUGUUUUAUUUCAUGCUUAUCAUCUUGAUGCUUGUGAACAAAUAUCUUUAGGACAGCAUGCUCAUCUAAGUAGUUGAUGUGUAUGAUAUGGUUCGAUGAUAUGAUCUUCACUCUUAAUGCUUAAGUGCUUGGGAAAAUCUAUUUGAAAAUUUAAAAGCCUUUUUGAAAUCUCCUCUUUGAUGUGCCAAAGUCCUACCAAAGCCAUAUGAUAAGUUAUCUUGAAAAACCAUUUGCAUAUGUUGCUUGUCUUUGCAUUGAGCUUUGUCAAAUUGGUGUGACCCUUGUCACAAUUCUUUUCAUACUUUCAUGAUCAAGACUCAUGUGCACGCCAUAUACCCCUUGCUAUGCUUCUAUGAGAUGUUAGCAUUGUACCAUCCAUUCAUUCCACAAAAUAAAUGCUCCACCAUAUGUGUUGGUCUCCUUCUAAGAUUAUUGUUACAAAAGAGAUAUGGGCUAUCAAAAAAAAAUAUGAAUGUCCAAGAAAGUUGGACACAUGAAUGUCCAAUAAAAAGAAAAAGAAAGAUAGCCAUGUCCUCAGAAAUAUUUACAAAGGGAGAGAGAUCAUACAAAAAGGAGUUUCCAUUCCAUCCACCACAUCCAUACAUGUGCACAUCUUGAUCUGAUUGUAUGACUUAUUUUUCUCUUUGGAUCUGGUCUUUGACUUUGCAAUAUAUGUGAUGCAAGCAUGCCUUAUCCUUCAUAGCCUACCUUGAGCUCCACAUAUAGCCAUCAUUAGAAGUAGGAUGAAGAAAGGCAAGUCUAAUGCCUUGGUGAGGACAUAUACACAUUGAGUGAUCUGAGAGAAUCAAAUGAGGAGCUAAGCAAGGUUUUGUUUUGAAAACUAAUUGAAAAAUCCCAAGCUACUUGGCAUAAGGAGUUGAGGUGACUUGAUUCAAGACCAUUACAUUCCUCAACUACCCAAGAUGGCAUGAUAGACACUCCAAAGUUCACAAGUGCAGGUAUGGUUUGGAAUAUCUUUUAGGCUCGCUUCAUACCUUUGAAAGUUAUGUUUCACCUUAGUCCUUUCUCGUUCACUCAAGGAUAAGCAAAGGCUAAGUGUGGGGGUGUUGUUGAUGGCUCUUAAGUACAAAAUCUGCGCCAUCAACUCUUGCAUAAACACAUAAAAUAUGAGCAUCAACAAUAGUGGUAGGAGUUAUUACAAACGAAUUCCACAAGUCUUGGUGAAUAUUUGUAUGCAAGCCCAAUAGGAGAGAAAAGACACCUCAAAAGCAAGGAAACACACUCUCAACCAAUCAAGAGCAAGCACAUGGAACCAUGGGCCCACAACCAAAAGGAAAUCGACUACAUUCCAAACACCCUAUACCCACAUGAGAACCCAUAGGGCAGUGACCCAGAGCAAAGGUGAUGCCAGAGUGUAGAUGGUAGUUAGCAUGCCAAAUUUUGAACCGCAAGCGCUCGGAUUAGUUGUUUCUUUUCCCUUAGAGAUUCCCCCAAGGUUUAUCAAUCCAUGGAACAAGGGAUUUGCACGUUUCACUAAGCACUAAUCAAUGUAAUUGAAAGCUUUUCGAAUAAGAUAUGAUUAUGCUAACAAAGGAACUAAGCAAUCUAGAUUAAGAUGGAUAGAGAGUACAGGUUGUGAACAAGAUAGAUUAAACGCUUGUAGAUGCAAUCACCAUGCAUGAAUGAAUUAGAUCUAGGUGUUAUUGUGAGUGGUUGUGAACCAUGCCCAACACUUUCCCACCCGCAACAUUGUCACUACAUGUGGGUACUCAACUAUCGGAACAUAAGAACACAUCAAGAUGAUCAUUCUAGGUAAGCAAAUAAGCAACCCAAAGUAGCGCUGGCCAGCCUUUUCAUGAAAGAGCAUCAUCAAGAUAAGAUUGAUAACAAAAUAGAUCUCAACCAAAGGUUCAGCGAUUACAAAUCAAGAUCUUCGUAUAACCCCGAUGACAAAUAGAGGUAUUACCCCCAUGAUCUUACACAUGUUGAUGAAUUUUAGGGUAAAGGACACCCUGUAGAUCAACUGGACCAAAGAUGAUGAUGAACGGGGGCAGGGAAGGCCCAGGUUGAUCAGCCUGCGCACUUUUGAGCCGAUCAGCUCAGGGGGUUUCCUCCUCCCCUGGUGCUCCUCUUCGCGUGGCCUCCUCUGGAUCCAAUCUUCUCUUCAUUUCUCCUACUUGUGGCGGCAAUGGAUGGUGUUUGCAUGGUGAUUUCCUCUUCUCCCCAACUCUCCCUCCUUGAAGUCCAUGAGGGGGUAUUAAUAGUCUCCAAUAGGCGGCAGCUCUGGGUCAAUGUCAGUGAAAAAAUCCUAGAGAUCAUCGUACACUUCAUGCUGAGGAAACAAGAGGUUGACCGAGCCCUGGGAUAGACCAAGAGGAUCAUCCUAGAGGGUCCCAGGCUAAUCGGUCUAGGCCCUUCCUAGCCCUUCUAGUCCUCUCCUUCCUCGUGCUGGCUUUUCUCGAUGACCCUUGUCCAAAUAUCCAUGAAGCUCUAUAUACAUACCCCCUUGAUUAUGUUGUAUUUCCUGUCAAAAUACAAUGCUCCAAAAUACAACACAUAUGCAAUAAUAGGGUUAUUUCAGGUGCCAAUUGGUGGGUUAGUAUACGAAUAAGCAUGAAAAUACUGUUUAAAUGACACUAAAAGUGUGUCAAUAACGAGCACCAACAAUCCCCCCACGCUUAGAUCUUGCUCGUCCUCGAGCAAGUCUAGCGACUAAAAGAUCUUGAAUUAAACCUGAGCAAGCGAGUCAAGUACCUAGCCUUGAAACAAAAGAUUAGAGGAGCAGCAAAGAUAAUCAAAGUCUGGGUGUUCAAAGAUUUAUCUAAGCAAAGAUUCCCCUACAACUAUUAUUCAGAACCAAGUAACUUCAAAAAUCAACUACACUUAUUUUCUGGCUUUUUUCAGAGGGUUUUUCUUUCAUCAUAAAACAAUCUCCCUGCAACAAAAUUGAAAAAAGAAUUAUUUUCAAGGUGCUUACAUGUCGCUUAAAUGAAUGUUGGCUAUCCUACUUAUUUGCAAGCUCUCAUCUCUCAAAAUUCAUUCAAUUAUAUGGUGGAGUUUGGGUAAGGUUAGCUAGAAUCAACACGUAUAUUAUUGAAUUAAGAAAACCCUCUAACGGUGGCCUACCUUCCGAGCCAUUGAUCAUAAGAAUAUCCACAUAAUGUGAAGUUUUCAAGGAUGAGAAGAUAUAGAAUGGUGGACAUGUGCAAAGGCAAAGAAAUAUAGUGACUCUGAGGCACAAGCAAUGUCCUCGUCGUUGGAUUGCAUAUGGUUGUAAUGAAAAUAUGUUCCUUAAACAAGUCUAUCUUUUCUUUGCACCACUCUUGAUCUUCAUGACAGUAAAAACUCCUCCUUUAUUUCUUUCUCUCUUUUCCUAUUAUUUCUUUUUAUUUGUCUCAAUACUUUUAUUUCUUUAUUUCUUUAUUUUAAUCUCUUCUCUGAACCUCUUCUGAACACCACAUAAUAAAAAUAAGUUUUAGAUCCUUCCAGAGACCUUCCAGGAAUUUGCUACAUGAAAACCGAGGCAAGGAGACCCCAGGCCGAUUGGCCUAGCCACUCCUUUGCUCUCCUCUAGCUCUUCUUUCUGGUGAAGCUUCCUUAUCUUGUAUCUUUCCAAAAAUUUCAUAAAGCUCGACUAGAAACGGAACAGAUCUUCAUAUAAUGAGUUGUGUUCAAGGAAUUGGUAAUAAAAUUGAGAAAUUUGUGGUUCGGGUUUACGAAUUCAGUACAAAAAUAUGAUUGUUCCAAUGAAGAACUCUCAUUACUGAAUAUUGACGAGGCAAGCAUUCAAAGAUGGUAAAAAGGAUAUGAUCAAUUCUCAAAAUUAAAGCAAACCAAGAGAGAGCGAUCCUAAUUCAAUUCAAAGUGUCAAAUGUUGCUUAUGGUGGUAUGAAUAAAUAUUUUUAGGCAUUGGGUAGGAUAAAUAAAAACUCUCAACCUGGUUAAAAGAUAUUGAUCAAUCUUGUUUUUGCAGAGGUUUUAAAUAAAAAAUAAAAUUUUAAAUCACCUCCAAUUCAAAGCCUUACUCAUAAAUCAUAAUCAAAACUGAAGCACUUGAUCAUCAUAAAGCAUGGGUAUUGCAUAAACAAAUCGAUUACUAAAACUCCACAACUACGAUUUAGAAUUCAAGACAAUGCUCAUAAUCUAAAGUUGCAAAGAUAAAAUAAAAGACAACCAAGCCAAGGUAGACACUAAAAACACUUGCACGAUCCUUGAAUUUUAUUCAUGCUUCUUCUCACAAAGACGCUAAAGUAGCCAUGUAGGCCUAAGUCUUCCCAAAAGCUUAAGAAAACUACUACUUUAUCUACUUUUGGUUGAAAUAAAAAGACUAAUCUAGACUCUCACAUGAUUCGACUCGACCAAAUUAGAUCCAAAAACUCAUACGAGCGACGAUCUCCCCCCCCUCACGCUUAAAAUCUACGACCUCCUCGUCGUAGCCAUAUGGAGUACAAGGAAAAGAAGCUUGUAAACGCUCUAAUGACGCUACCCGCACUACUUGCACACGGGAUGGUUGCUGCUUCCUUCGCUUUGUUCUUCCUCAUGUUGCUGCACAUCCCGAAGAGCUUCCUCACGUUCCUCUGCAAGAACUUGAACUCGUCCUCCUGACGGCGAUCAUUAUCUUCUGCCUUUUGAUCCAGAGCUUGUAAGGCUUGCAUGAUGUCAUCGAACGCAUCGAAGAGGUAGUGGAUGUUCUUCCUGCAAGCUGUGGAACAUGUACGAUCAUGCUCCUCCGAUUCUGGCCCGUCGUCUUCUAGAUCCUUCUCUUUGCCCUUGUCUUGACGGUGGCUAUCUUGCUCCUUGCUCGCCUUCUUGCCUUCAGCCCAAUCCCAGUACGUGUUGUCAUCUUCUUCAUCGUCACGGCCUGCAGCACCCUAUGAUCCAUUGUCUAUCUUGUAUGAAAGAAUCAGAAGCUUGUUCUCCUCAGGGUGUCUUGCGCGGUGCAGCGUUUGCAAGUGCAAGACUUGCUAGUUCCUUUUACACAUUGUAAUGUUCAUUGCAUGCUCUAAUUGUUCUACAUUUGUAAUUUCUUGGUGAAGUUUGGUUACUGAUCCACUGUUUGAUUAACUCUUGGGCCCAAACACUGUACUACUUCUGAUUAGAUAUCUGUAUCUUGACUUUGACCAAAAAAAAUAUCCGGCAGUUUUUGCCAUUAAAGUUUCAUAAAUCAUCUUGCAAAAAUCGUACUAUACAACAAGGGACGGUUUAUUAUAAAAUAUACGUUCCCCUUAUCACAUGCCACUUCCACUCAAAAGGCAACGAAUCAGUUUUCAAUCCUGAGUGAGCAAUUUGCUUUUAUUACCGAUGCCUCCUAUUCCCUUGUGCACCAAGUUUAUUUUGGAUAGGGCUGCAAAAAACGACUAACCAGCUCGGAUUCUCCACCUGCAAAACCGCAUCUGCAGCAACCAACCCCACGCGGUGGAAAAAAAAACAAAACCUAGAAACCGGACGGGGGUGGAUGUGGGGCUCGGAGCCCAAGCAAAAAACGGAUCGGGAGCGCCGGAGCAGGCCAUCACCGGAUGUUAGAGAUAGAAAAUGGUUGAAGUUUGGAGUGGAAAUCAAACAAGCCUUGGAGCAAAGGAAAAAAAAAGAUCAAACCACUCAAGCAUUCAUUUGAUUUAGAAAAGAGAACAUUUGUUAAGGUGGGGAGUUGAAAUCAUCUUUUAAUUAGUUCCACGUAUCUGGUAUCAUUACAGUUGGUUUACUUGUGUAAGUAUAAGUAGCUCUGCCGAAGCCUUUGCUCCUAUAAUUUAGUAACUAGUACAAAUGGAUCAAUAGGAAAAUCAAGUUGCAAUCAUUUCUCAGCCAACCAAACCUAUGUAAAUCAAAUUAUUGUCCAUGCCCGGCAUGCACAGGUGCCUGCCAUGCAUGCAUUGUUGCUCCAUUGUAAUAACCAUUAUUGUCCAUCGAUGUUGCAGCGCAUGUGUGCACUGUGCAGACACCAAGCAUCGAGAUUAUGUACUAGUAAGGUGUUGAAAUAAUGGGCCUAGCCCAUAAGUAAUUUCAGAAUUUCAAAUAAAUCUCAAAGGCCCAUGUGGGCAAGAGGUGGAGUGGUGCAAGUCUUUAGUCCCACAUUGCUAGUCGAGGGGAGGGAUGACCAACUUAAAUAUGGAAGUUGUCUCCACUCCUCCAAGCUAUGUGUGAAGGGCGCGGGCGCGAGGCACUUGCGUGAAUGGUCCGCCGAAAUCUGGCCCCCCUUGCGGGGGCGCGGCUUCCUUUUGCCGUUUUAUUUUUUGGUUACUUGGUCGUUAAGUCAUGGAAUCCUAACCGGUUUAGAUCACGAUCGUGAAGGUUUUUGGGAAGCGCUCUGCGCGACUGCUCGAUCGCUUCUUCCGCUUCGUCAAGUUCUUCGUCGACUCCUUCACCACGGCUCGUCUACCUCUUCGUCGCUCGGGCCUCACUCGUCGUCGCGAACAACGUCAGGCUGCUGAUCGUCGUCGCCUGCUGUAUCCGGUAGUCGUCCAGGAGCCGGUUUUCAUCAAGAAAGAAACGUACGGUCUCUUAACUCACAUUAUGUCUUCCAUACUAGCUAUUAUGAUUGUUGCAGUCUGAUAGCUCUGGAUAGUAUGGUAGAAUGUCUGAUUCUAUUUGCAAUGAUAGACUUGUCUAGAUCUUGCGUAGACAUGUCUAGUUUAAUCUGCUGCUUGUUCAUCAUAUUCAUGAUUUAUUUCUGGAUUAAGUUAAAACUAAAAGUGCUUAUAUAUCCAACAUAAGGUACCAAGAACACGUGAAGCACCCGGGGGAGGCUGCUCCACUCCGCAUGCACAGGUGGGCACGGCACCACUACUCGUCUCCUUCAGGCUGAGGAUAAGUGAUGUACGCUGAUCAACAGACCACGACGGAACCAGCAAUAAUAGUUUCAGCCUGCCUCACAGUAAUUAAUAUAUCCUGUAUCCUCCGAGGACCCCUCCCCUUAAUCUUGGCCUAUUGCAUCCAAUAAUGAUAUGUGUGUUUAUCCAAAUUUACGGCACCUUUGGCGGGGGUUCCACCCAGCUCCGCCCUCUCCACCUUCGGUACUCCAUGGGAAACCAUUCCUUUGGAAUCAAGGAAGCUUGAACAGUAUAACGAAUAAAGUUUCAUAUAUCCAUUUGAUUUCACAUGAAAUAAAAUAUUCUGUCAGAACCAAUGGUUUCACUGAAGCUCCAGGCAGCGAGCGAAGGGGUGAGAGAGGAUAACGCUUACUGUGUGUUACCAUCGCGUGCACCAUGGAUGACCAACGCGCAGCCGAGAUGAAACGGCGGACCUAAACAGGUCCUCGCUAUUUUUGCAGGUUCUCGACCAGGCCAGUUCUUUAGGCCAACCUAUCAUUCACGAGUUAAACAUACGGUGGCUGGAGAAAUGUUCUAUUCUUUUAAACAAUACCAGCUGGUUCCUCCGUUUUUAUUCCACCAAUACAAGCACCACCUUGUAACAUUUCCUAUGUUUUUUUUCCUUUCGUCUGUUUUCUCACUACAUGCGUUGCUCUUUCAUGCAUUUUUUUCCAUUCCUGUAUUCCAAAUAGGUCUACAUGAACACAAAAUGAACUAGGGGACAGAAAAAGCCAGUGAAGUUAGUUUUGAGCUUCACCAGCUACUUGCUACAUAAAGUGUGCUAUAGUCGCAGAAAAGCUAAGCUGGAUCAGACGUGGCCGAAACAAUGCCAAAGAGCUAGGUCCCUAGCUGAUGGCAACACAUCAGAUGACUAGCCUGCUUUUCUGUAAUAAUGAUAUUGAGCAAUACACUGCAUGGCUAACCUGCUUUACAAUAAUUGUCAUUUUAUAAUAUUGGUCAUCACGAGAGAUGCACAUUGCAUACACCGGCCCAUCCCUAUAAAUAGCCAAGCCUUUCAGCCAUCUUGGGCACCUCCUCUCAGGGCCUCGUCUCACCAUCAGACAUCUCGUUCCCAGUUAUAAUUUGCGAGGUUAGAUCAGGCUGCGCCAUGGCGUCCGCAACUGCUGUCAAGAUCGUCGCCACCUUCAUGCUGGUGCUGACCAUGGGCCACCUGAUGGCCGAAGCAUCACCGCAGCCUCGGCGUGUGCUUGCAGAAACGGAGCAUGCUGCGGUGUCCGGGAAUCCUGGCCUCCCAGGUGAUGCUAGCGUCAUGCAGGUCCUCGAACCCGCCCUAGUUUCUCGGCUUGCCUGCAAACCAGAGUGCACAGUCCCUUGGCCUCCUUUUGUAUGUAUCUGCUAGAUCCUCUUCCUGGCUCAACGGAACUUCAGGGAAAUGGCUGUGACGUCGGCCAAAGAAUAAAUUGGAUGAACAUAAUAUACCCCGGGUAGUGUAGCUUGGGCUUUUGUUGAGCGUCUGGUGCUAGUUGUAUUUUGUUUGCUCAUGUGGCUUUGCUUCUGGUUGCAUAUUGGCUUUCCUAUCGCUCUCUGUUGCAGCUAUGGUUUCUGCCAGGUGUGUGUUAAUGCGGUUUGUAAGCGGUGCUUGUUCCUACCUUCUGUUUUCAAUAAAAGAAGUCGGAGUCUCCCUCCGACUCUUGUUAUCAGUCAACAAAAAUGAGUUGUAUCAUAUAUAUCUGCGUCUUUUUUCUACGUAUCUUUGGGCUGCUUCAGCUGGAAGUUUAUCGUAAGUACGUGUAUCAGGAUGAUCGUUUGAAUUAAAACGAAAUGAUAAUGUGUGGCUGCUAGAAAUGGAAUGAGCAUCUUACUAUAUUACUAAUUGGAAGCCUCCACGUGAAGCCACCUAGAAAUUCUAGGUGGACGUUUUAAAAAAAACAAAACUCAUAGAAGCCUCCACCACCUAGGAAUCCUAGGUGGACACUCUAAAAAGAGACAAAUCCUAGAAAUUCUAAAAAAAGAAAAAAAUAAUAACAAUAAGAUUUUUUUGCAGUCAAUUACAUAUAUUUUUUUGAGACACCGUGCUGCUAGCUCUUGCCAUUGCGACCAGUAAAGCAAGCAGAUAGUAAGAUGACAUGCGUGUGGAUUGAUUAAAACAAAUUCAGUUAGUUGAUUCUAAAUCGUAUGUAUCCUAAAAGGAAGAUAUGUGCGUGCAUGGUCCCUAGCGAUGACAUGUAGACAUGUAUUGCAAUUUCUUUUUUAAAAAACAUGUCUAUCUCUAAACCAACAAACAGAAAAAAUAUCAAUCUAAAUCUAAAUCUCUUCCGUUCUCACACGCCUAUUAAAGAGAAGACAACCAAUCCCAUCCAUGUUCCAUAGAAUCCAUCUAAAAGCUUGCUCACUGCGGACGGCAUUUGACGGCAAAUCAAUGAAAGAUCAUCCUCUCCAAAUAGCUGGACGGCAUCACCAUCUUUAUCUCACCAACCUACAGAGCUACAACGAUGUUGUAGAGAUCAACUAGGUAACCUACCAAUCACCCUCCCCUUUUCUAUAUGCUCUAAAGAACACGUGGAGUAAUUAUAGGCCUAUAGGAGCCGACUAACCUAGAUUAAUAUGAAAAAUAUUCCAAUAUUAAAAGCAAGCAGAUAGUAAUACUUGCCUUUGACCAUUUUUCUAGAACUGUUAUUCCUAUUGAAUGUUCAAGUGCUACGGCCAGGCAUCGAAUGCCUGCACGGAACCUUCCUAUUGAAUGGUUACUCUAGAGAUCAACGCACCGCGAGACAUUUUUAUGGAAUUUGUUUGAUUCCCCUUCUACAAUUAGAUUAAUUUUUCAUGGCAUAUAUUACUACUAUUAAAUUAUUUGUUUAUUGUCGGGCCUGCUGCAUGUGUGGUAUAUAUGACUUGCUUCUCACCAUUGUUCUCAAACUAUUAUUCCUAUCGAAUCUUUCUAUCGAAAUAUAUUUUAAUUACUUGAUUGUUGUUUGUGUACCAUAACUUCUGUAUAGAAAAAUUCCAUGUUUGUAGAUAAUGUCUUUUGUAUAGAAAAAUAGCCCAAUUAGAUCCAUCACCAUCUUUUGCUUAUGUAGUUGAACAAGUUGCAAUGUUGAACAAAACUUUAAGUGAAAUUAGACCAGGAAAAGGAAUUGUGGAACAUUAAGGCAAGGGUAACCAGAUUGUGGAAUGCAACCUUACUCAGUAGUGGCGAACAAUUAAGUCUUGACAUGAUCCUUAUUGAUCAAAAGGUAUGAUAGAUGUUCACUUUGAUUGCAUUAUUGGUAUAAUUUUUGGUUUACAAAUUAUUAAUGAUGAUGCAAAAUUAGGGAACCAUGAUCCACGGUGUUAUCAAUAAGCCCUAUAUGAAAAAGUUCAAACCAUUGAUUGAAGAAGGCAAUGUGUACAUAAUUGCAAAUGUCAGAAUCACACCAGAACCACAGAAGUAUCGGCCAGUGGAAAAUGACAGGAUAGUCAACUUCUUACCCACAACUGCACUAAAAACGAUCAAAGAUACUGAAGACAUUCCAAAGUAUAGUUUUAACUUCAUGAGCACGGAUAUGCUUUCAGCAAGAAUAAAUGUGGACAUGUACCUAUUAGGUAAAACAUUACUGGCUUUUCAAUUUUUACACUUCCACUCAUUAAAUGACCAUCUAAUAAUAAUACAUAUUUAUGUUUCAUAGAUGUUAUAGGUAUCUCAGCUCACAUUGGACCGAUAGAAGAAACAAGGACAAACUUCGGAUUUACUAAAAUCCGUGAUAUUGUGCUCCUGAUCGAGUAAUUCUCUUUUCUUUUGUAGAAAACAACUACAAAACUUUCAACAUUUACAUGUAUGUUAUAGAACUUCUGUUGAACUAAAAAAUAUCUUCUACAGUGCCCCUACAAAUAAUUAAUUUCGUAGUUGGAUAUUUAAAAUAUUUAUUAUUCACUUUUAAAUUUGUGGCCAUGAAGUUAAAGUUAGAUUUUGGGGAGACAAAGUUGAGGAAGUUGAUGAUAAGACAAAAUCCCAUGUCAUUGCAAUAACAUCUACAACUGUGAGUAAAUUUGGCAGUAAGUCUUCAUUCAAUAUGAGUUAUUCAAUAUUAGUCAUUCAACAAACUAACCUCGUAAGAAAAAUAAAUAAUUGAUGUUUUAUCAGGGUAUUCUCUAUCGUCAACCAAUGCAACAAAACUUUAUGUAGAUCUACCUAUUCCUGAAACUAAGGAUGCACAUGAUAGGUGAGAAAAAUUAGAUAUUGUUUUUCUAUUUUAAUCUAUGUAGCAUGCACUCUAACAUGAUACAUUCUUUCAUAUGAUAAAAAAAUGUUAGUUCAAUUGAAAAUAUUGUCAAAGAGAUUCAUAUUGAGGACCAUCUAAAAGGGACAUUGGAAGACCAAAUGCAGUACAAUAGAAGAACUUUAGAAGAAUUAAAUUUCAUAUUAUUUGAAACAUCAAAUCAGGUAUGGAUUAGUAUGUUCAUUGUACACUAUACUAUUUAAAGACUUACAUACAUAAUGAUGGUAUUGUUCCUACUUUCAGGAUGAGGUAUUUACUAUUGAAGCAACAAUAAAUGAAAUUAAUGCAACAUAUGGUUGGUUGUCACACCCGAUUUUAAGGACAAAAUUGAGUGCAUUAAAUACAUGUGCACCAGGAUCAAGUUACACACAUCCUAUGAGUACCGUCCUUCUUUGGCACAAAGAUAACCGGUGCUCCCCAUGGUGAUGAACUAGGCCGAAUAAACUAUUUUGCUGAUAAUUCCUCUAGUUGUUGUUUCAAUUCUUUUAAUUGUUCAACCAACAUUCUAUAAGGACGUUUGGAGAUAGGUGCAGUACCAGGUAAAAGAUCAAUAGCAAAUUCAAUGUCGCGGUCAGGUGGCAUACCUGGUAAAUCGUCGGGGAACACAUCCGGAUAGUCACACACCACUUUGAUAUCUUCCAAGGAUUUUCCAGCCAACUGAUUAACUGCACAAUCUGCUGCUGAGGGUAGAGUAGCUACAAACUCCACUUUCUCUCCAUCAGGACCUGUUAGCAGAACUGUCCUCUUGGCACACUGAAUCGUUGCAUCAAAAGCGGCUAACCACCUCAUCCCCAGAAUUACAUCGAUUCCACUGGACUCAAGGACGAUAAGAUCAGCCGGAAACUCUAUACCCAUUAUUCUCAGUUUAACUUGUGGACAGAUGUAUUGAGCCUUCAUUGACCCCCCAGGUGAACUCACUAGCAUAUGACGCCUCAUGGUAUGCAUGGGUAAAUUAUGCUUUGCUACAUAAUGACUAGUGACAAAAGAAUGCGAUGCUCCAGAGUCAAAUAAAACUGAUGCGGGGGCAGAGUUGACAAAGAACAUACCAAGCACUACAUCUGGAGCCUCCUUAGCAGUCUCGGCUUCCAUGUGGUUCACCUUGCCACAAACAAAGCUUUGCUGCCCCUGAUUGCCUUGUGGGGUCUGGUUCCCAUUCCUCGGUUGCUGCAUCUGAUUCUGCCGAGGAGCACUGCUGUUCUGCACGGGGGUAGCUGGCCCACCUCUCUUAGGACAAGAGCUGGCAUAGUGACCAACCUCGCCACACUUGAAGCAGGUAGGACCCACUGGAGCAUUGGGCCUUGUUGGAGUGCCAGUAGGGGUCAUCUGGCGGUUCUGCGUAAAGCUUGGGCGCGGAGUCUGCAUAGUCUGCAUCCCUGGAUGCUGGAACUGAGGGCUAGGGCGCUGGAAUGACUGCUGAGCAGGGCGCGGAAAUGAGUGCUGCCAAAAAUUCCCACUCGGGCCCCCUGCGCGGAACGGCGUCCCUUGCUGUGGAGCAAAGCGAGGGCGGGUGUUGCUUCCUGAAGACUACUGGGAAUUGAAUUUCCUCUUCAUCUCCCCGAGCUCGUUCCUCUUGUGUUCCAGGCCAAUUGCCUUGUCUAGCAUCUUCUGGAAACUGGGGAAGGUGUGCGACAUAAGCUGAUAUUGGAGUGGUCCAAUCAACCCAUCCAAGAAUAGCUCCUGCUUCUGCUCAUCAUCAGCAACAUCUUCGGGAGCAUAUCGGGACAACUGGACAAACUUGUCCCUGUACUCUGCCACUGUCAUGUUCCCCUGCUUGAGAGCAAGGAACUCCUUCUUCUUAAGCUUCAUCAAUCCGGAAGGAAUAUGAUGACUUCUGAAGCUAGUCCUGAAUUCAUCCCAGGUGAUGCCAUUAGCAUUGGCAUGGGUGGUGGUGUAAGCAUCCCACCAAUCAGCAGCUGGCCCUUCCAGGCGUCCUGAAGCAUACAGGACCUUCUCCCUGUCAGUACAUUGGGCGAUAUCCAGCAUCUUCUCCACUGUUUUCAGCCAAUCAUCAGCAUCUAAUGGAUCCGGAGAAUGUGAAAACGUCGGGGGCUUGUGGCUCAUGAACUCCCUAUGCCUGUCCCUUGGCGGCGGCUGCUGCUGGUUGUUGUUGUUGUUAUUGUUCAGCUGAGCUUGUAAAGCUGCCACGGUGUUGGUCAGUCCGGCGAGAAGCUGAGUCUGAGCUGCUAGAAACUGCUCCAUCCCUGCAGGUGCUUGUUGGUUCUGUUGCGGAGCGGUGUUGGGAUUGCUGCUGUUGUCCCUGUGGCGUGGCACUGUGGGACGGUCAACUCCUGAUCCGGACCUGGUGUUUACCAUCUGAGCGUUAGAGACAAUGGAUUUAGAUAGAUGUGUGAAAGAAUAACUGAGAAAGAUAAAGCGACCAGAUGUAAAAGUAACACAGAUUCUGUUAGCUCCAUUUAAUUAGGUGUGGUCGUCAGAAGAAGUGUCCAUAAAUUCUGAACAAUUACCAAGUCGUAACUUAUUAAAUUUGUAAACCAACCCAACUGGAAUCAUCUCAAUCGGACUUCUGGAUCUCGAGUUACAAAAUUAACAAGCUGACAGUGUCGGUCGAUAGGUUCAGAUUCUGAGUGCUUUACUAAUUCGCAUACACCUCCCAGACAGAUACACCAAAAAUUCUGAAAAAUUUACAGAUAGUACUCCACGAAAUUCUGAAACUAACCCCACUGGUUUCAUGUCAUUUGGACUUCUGUAGCUAGAGAUAUAAAUAAAAAAGUACUGGCGUGUCAGUUAAUGUCGAGAACAGAAUUGAAUGUCGCUUAGCUUGCGUGAUGGAUAGAUUUAGACAGAUGGUAGAUCAUGAUUAAGGAAGAUUAAAUACUGAUUUAGAACAGAAAUAAAACCCAACUAAGCACUUUAUUUAUUAAGACCAGUAUCGUGUGGCAAUUGCCCCACAUACCGCACUCAUUACAAAAUCCAACUCAAACAUGUAGCACAAAACCAAUCAUCUAAGCACACUUUAACUAACACACUCGAACGACGUCUAACGAUUACAAGAAUUUAAACUAAAACACUCCUAAUUUCCUAGAGGUCUUCUGCGGCGGUGCCGGGCGAGUCGUAGCGGGGACGCUUAGGCGACGGCGACGAAGCGGGAUGAACAGCAAACUCCUGCGGCGGCGGUGCUCCCGUCGCGGCAGCCAUAUUCGCAUCCCUCUCCCACCGGAGUUCCUGAACCUCCUGUUGAAGCUCCUGGAUGUGGUUGUUUGCUUCAUUCAAUGCGGUGAGAGCUGCCGACGUGUACUUGCGGAGGAAGUCUGUAGCCAUGUCAACCCCAUCGUUAGUAGCGAUGAAGGUUCUUGCUUCCCCACUAGCUCGGUAAGGAAGGAACCGAUGGUAAGUGUGCUGCAAUCGCGGCCGUUCCUUGUGGGAGACGACCUCAAGUGCCCUCCUGGCGGCCUCGGCAAUGCCGGAUUCCAUGGUCCUCCUUAUGGUCACAUCAUGGUGAAAAGCCUUCACCUCCCAUCCUCCCUCGUGCUCCUCACGAAGGACAACCUUCACCUCCCAAAAAGUGGGAUAGCGAGGGUGGGUGAACCGGGAGCACUUGUAGAGUGGCCUCAUGCCGUACCCCAAGCGGUGACAAGUCCACCUGAGUAUGUCGGCCAUGUGCACUCCUUGGCCAUAAUCUUCCUUCACCCAUUUGAUCCAUGUCUCGGGCUCGGGAUCUGCUUCGGGCUCAUCAUCCGUCAAGUCGACGACCGGUACGGGCGUCGGGGCUGGUGCAGGAGCGGGCGCCGGUGCUGGCGACGGUGCUGGUGACGGCGUGGUCUCCUGCUCCACGGUCACGGCGUCCCCGUCAGAGUCAUCCCCCGGAUGCUGGAAGAUCUCUUCCUCUUCUUCCUCGUCCCAAGGCUCCAUGGGGGCGUACGACGGCGCGAUGCCAUGACGCGGCGGACGGGUGCUCUUGCGUGCGGUCAACCGGGUGCGAGCCAUCUAACAGAAAGAAAGAAGAAAAUUUUAGAAUAAAAUUUUGAACAAAGCUAGAUAAUAAAAUAGCAAUAAGGAUGAGACAAAUCAAGUUUAAGAAUAAUUAAGUAGAUUUAAAUUAAGAAAGGUAGGAAUGGCUACUAGAUUAUUAUAAUCCUUAAAUACGACCAUUUUCUAACUAGGCUAACGUCCUACAGUCAACACGGCUCUGGUACCACUUUUGUCACACCCGAUUUUAAGGACAAAAUCGAGUGCAUUAAAUACAUGUGCGCCAGGAUCAAGUUACACACAUGUACGACAAUAGUGAAUAGUAAAGCCAGUGCUAAAUCGAAUAAAGAGAGUAUUAACCAUUAUUACAUGACCGAAUGUCUCAAAUAAACCACAAAGUCUAAUUAUUACGCAGCGGAACUCCAAAGAUGACGACGACUCCAUAGGCAGCUGACUGAAGAAACGUACGCCUAGAACUCCUCGAAGUCGUGGAAGUACUCCUCUUCCCAAUUAACUUGGUCUGAACAGCGGUUUUGCAAGGGUGAGUACACUUAUGGUUGGUACUCAACAAGUCGUGGGAAGUAGUGUAGUGUAAGGCUAAUUCAAGGUAUGGCUAAGGCGUAAAUAGCAUUCGCUUUUAAUUAAGUUGGUCAAAUUUUAUUAGCAUUUACUAAGUAUAAGUUCAUACCACCCGAAAUUAAACAUGAACAUAAAGUAAACCACAUGUGCAUGAAAUGAUAACAAAUUAAAUCCAUCUUCCGAUAAUAUUAUCAUGUGAGGGUCCAGGCCGCUCUUAACCGUGAGCACGGCUGAUUGAUCAGUUUAACACUCUGCAGAGGUGGCACAUCUUUACCCACAAGUCGCGUAAAAGUUCAAAAGAACUUUGGACCCAACCAUGCGGUGUUUGCAAGGCACCAUACCACACUUCCGAGGUGUGAUUGCAUAGGGACGCUACGAGGCCUUUACAAAGAUUCAUUAAUCAGUGGUAACCCGCUAAGGUUUCGGUGUCUGGCGUGCACCACCCAUCCCAGGUAAAAUGCAACGACUCAGUCCCCCCCCUUGAAUCAUCACGAGUAAGGUCACCCCAGACUAAGGUUUCUAAUUAAUCAGCCAAGACCAGAGCUAUUUAGUCUUGUGGUAGCACUGUUUUCCUGGGUGGUCGCUCCAUGUUCUGAUUAACAAAUAAUGAUCUUGUCUUAAUGAAAGGUAUAACAGAAAUAAGGCAAGAUUAAGCAUUGUUUUUAGUUAAACCACCAUGUACCAAGUAAGCACUAAGCAUGAGCUACCCAACAUAAAGUAAACCGGUUGGUCAAGGCAAAGGUAAAACAAUCUAGGCCAACCUUAAUUGGGACCCAUCAAUUUAAUCUUAAUAUGUGCACAGCAUAAAUGUUGAGUACGAGAAAGUAAAGGUGUAUAGGACAAAAAGGUAGUGAUCAAGGACACGACUUGCCUUCUUGGCCUUGCUCCUGCUGUUCGUACUCCUCGAAGGCUUGAUCGGCAACUCCCUCGAACUGCGGGGCGUCUACACGCAUCACACGAGCACAUACAAGCAAACAUGGGCAAAAGUAAGAAAACAGUAUACCAAACAUAGUCAAACAGAGAAAACAAGCUUGAAAAGAUGAUCUACGCUUUAAAACGAACACGCGGAUAUAAAGAACGCGAAAAACGGAGUUAAGAUGCAAAAGAUAUGAUUAAAACAAAAUCCAGGGACUUUUCUGUAAGAAAAACAAAACUUUUAGGGCCUAUCCGCGAAAACCGAGGGCUUAUACGUAAUUAUGCGUAUAAACCGAGGGUCUGAUGCGUAAAAACAUCAAACCCGGACGGCGGGUUGAUUUCUGGAAAGGUCAAGGGUUAAACCGAAAAAUGCGAGGGCAGAUCUGUAAAUACUUUCAACGCGAUCUGGACCGCGGGUUGAUUUGCGAAAAAGGCGGGGGCUAAAGUGCAAAAACUGCACGGCGCGGCUCGGUUGACCGGUACGCGAUCUUGAUUGACUCGCGUCCGGCCGUCGGAUUAAGAUCCGACGGUCGCGGUGAUCCGCGACAUCGCGGCGGCGGCGGCGAGCGGCGGCGAGCGGCGGCAAGCGGCGGCGGGUCGCCGGAGUUAGGCAAAAUAGCGCCACGAGGCACGGUUUAACGCGCGGGUUGCACCAAAAAAGAGAGGGGAACACGUCGAUCCCGUUUUGGGGGUUCUUGUCGACGGGGGCUCACCGGCGACGGCGAACGGCGGCGAGGAAGAGGCGGCGGCGCUAGGAGCUCGGGCGGCUAGGGUUUCGGGGAGCUGCGGCGCUGGUUUUGGGCGGAGGAGACUGGGAGGAGGCGGCGGCUUUUAUAGGGCUUGGAGAUAGAGCCGGCGCGGGUUCAAAUCCCCCGGAGGAGUCGGAGCGGAUGGAGUCCGGGGCGGAGACGGCGCGCGGCGGUUGCGGAGUUCUGACCGGAUUCGGCCGGAGGUGGGAGACGAUGGGUGGGGUCCACCCGUCAGUGGCGGAGGGGAGCGGUAGACGGGCCGGCGCGACCGUGGGCUGGCGCGCGCUCGUGGGCUGCGGGGAGCGGGAGAGAAGCGGCGAGCGGGCGCUGGCGGAGCAGGCCGAGCGGAGGUAGAGCUGGGCCGCGGAGAAAAAGGAGGAGGCCGGCGGGCUGCUUCGCAGGCCGGUAAGGAUGAGGCGGCCGGGCCGAAGAAGAAAAAGAAAAGGAGGGACAAGGAGCUUUCGGCCGAGGGAAAAGAAGAAGAAAAAGAAAAGGAAGAAGAAAAGGGAAAAGGUUUUGGAAUUUGAAUUUAAAUCUGAAAUUCAAAAUUUGAUUCAAACUCAAGCAACCAAAAAUUAUGCUCCAGCAUGAAUGCACAAAUAAUUCCUAUGAUGAAUUAAUUGAAUUAAAGAAAAUGAAUUUAAAUGCCUAGAAAUUAAAUAACACCCUAAUUUGAGCAAAUUUUAAUGAAUUUGAAUUAUUGAAAUUUUGGGUGUUACAUUGGUACUACAUCUCAUGUAGUAGAGGCGAUUGUAAGAAGCAACUUGAAAAGAAGUUUGAUCACUACUAUUGCAAUAAAUGUGACAAGAGAGCCGAACCUAAAGCCCAGUAAAUUAUUUAGUAGUUUACAAUCUUAUUAUAAUACUUCUAUUUCUAAUAGGAGAAUAAUAUUUUCAGAUUCAAAUUAAGCUUCAAAUAAGUGAUCCAACAACAAGUGCAACUUGUGUACUUUUGACAAGGAAGCAGAAAUGAUAAUUAAUGAAUGAGCAGAUUCGAUGAUCACCUCAGUUGAUCAUGAUAAUAAGUAGCUACCAAAAUCAAUUCAGGAAAUAUGUGAAGAAACAUUGAUUUCUCAAUUCAGAUUGACCGAGUACAACUUGACAAGUUUUAGACCUGAUUAUACUGUUUCAAAGAUAUUUUUUCCAAAAGAAAAGGGCAGUUCAAGAAUUGGUAUGGAAAGUGUAAAAAAGGUAACACUUUAUUAUUAAUUUUUUAUUGCACUUUUUUCUUUUGAAUCCGUAAUACUUAAUAAUUUUACUAUAUCAAUGAAACAAAUUCUAACCUAAAUUUAUUUUCUUUUUUAUUAUUUGUAGGAAGUAGAAGACAACUCAGACAAAUGCUACACGAUAACUACCGAGAAUGAAGAGGUAGACACUGAUGACUCUUUUACCGAGAAAGUAACAUUCGUAGAAGAAGCCAUAAGGACUGGGGAAAGAUUGGCUAGAAAAGUAUACUCACUUCCAUGUCAGUGUUCAUUCUAUUUACAAUACAUGCAAAAAAAAUAUUAUUCAUGCAAAAUUGCAGGUCUACUAAGCAUUAAAGGAAUAGCGGAUAGUGCAAUAUGUAAUCUGAGCAGCAUGCAUUACAAAGUGCUCUACUGCAAUUAAAUUAAAAAACAUGAUAUAUGUUGAAUUCUUAGACUUUAUUAUUAUACUUUUCUACGUGACAAUUCACAAUUUUUUAGAAAAAAGAAGAUCCCAGAAGAAGUGACCAUGAAAAAAGGUCUAUGACCAGCAAUAAGAAAAAAUGCAAGCAUAGAAACAAAUCCGUAGAAAACAUAGAAAAUAAGGUACUCCAUAAACAAAAGUAUUCUCUUAUAUUUUUAUUAAAUAUUUUUUUAACACUUGACAAGUUCUUUUUUAGGAUCAAUAUAUCAGCAAUUCAGAUGUCAUUGGAGAUGAAACCUUAGUUCAUCCAAAAGGUCAAAAAAAAACAUCUGAAGAAAGGUGUUUGGCUGAAAAGGAAAAGCAAAAAAGUGGUAAUGCAGACAAACACAUGCAGAAAAAUAUAAAAACAUGUCAUAGGGAGGCAGACCAAUCUUGCAAGGAGGUAUAGACGAAACGUGAUACACGACCUGCCUACCUUGUCGUGGAUACCCCAAGAAGAUGUCAUAGAGGUGCAGACCAAGCUAGCAAGGAGGUCGAAACGUGAUACACGGCCUGCCUACCUUGCCGUGGAUAUUAGCCCUGAGAUCAUUCUACUGUUCAAGGAAUAACACUCAAUGCUGCUGCUGCUGCUGACCUGGCUCCAUAAAGUUAUACUCCUCUAGGUGCUUGCACUAACUUUAUCUGAAGUAUUAUUCUCUCUGCACUGUAUAUAUGGUUAUGGAGUUUGCUGGAGUAUCCGGGGCGAAGAACCUACAUAAUACGUCUUGGAACUAAUUGACAUUGAUUCACAGACAAACUCUACAAGGUGCUGUUCUUGCCAUUUUAGAGCAUCCAAAGGACUAUAAAUAACAUAGUUUACCAUAUACCAUAUACCAUAUACCAUAAUAUGUUAGCUAAAAUAAGAGCAUACACAUGUUGCAGGAGUCCAAAAGCACCGGUUGAGGACCAGGUACAUUGAAUUACUAGAAAAAGACAGGGGACAAGGUUUAGGUAACCACAUGAAACAUUUGAAUUUAUUGUACUAUGAACACUUAGUUACCAUGCCAGGAGCACAUAGUUAACACUAACAUUUAGCCACUUUAGAUCAUCCCGAAUCACCAAUGACCCUCAAUAGUGACAAAUUUUGGUUUAAAUGCCAUCACCAAUGAUCCUCAAUAGUGACGUAUUUAGGUUUAAAUCCCGUCACUAAUAACCCUCAAUAGUGACCUGUUUUGGUUUAAAUCUCAUUACCACUGAUCCUCAAUAGUGAUGUGUUUUAGCAAAACAUGUUAUCAAUGACUUGUCAUUGGUGACGUGUUAAAACGCGUUAUCUCAAUGGCAAAUCAUUGGUGACGUGUUAUCUCAAUGUUAUCAAUGUUCUAUUCUUUUCAACAAUACCAGCUCGUUCCUCCGUUUUUAUUCCACCAAUACAAGCACCACCUUGUAACAUUUCCUAUGUUUUUUUUCCUUUUGUCUGUUUUCUCACUACAUGCGUUGCUCUUUCAUGCAUUUUUUUCCAUUCCUGUAUUCCAAAUAGGUCUACAUGAACACAAAAUGAACUAGGGGACAGAAAAAGCCAGUGAAGCCAAUUUUGAGCUUCACCAGCUACUUGCUACAUAAAGUGUGCUAUAGUGACGUGUUUUAGCAAAACAUGUUAUCAAUGACUUGUCAUUGGUGACGUGUUAAAACGCGUUAUCUCACUGGCAAAUCAUUGGUGACGUGUUUUAAAAAAACAUGUCACCGUGAGAGUCAUUGGUGAAGGGUAAUUAAAAUGCGUCACUAAUGUUGUAGCAUUAGUUAUGAUAAUUUAGUAACGCAAAAAUCUACCAUCAGUAUUGAGCUUUAGAGCCAUCGCUAAUGUGGGUUUCUUACAUAGUGAUGCAAGCUCUACAAGGUGCUGUUGCUGCCAUUUUAAAGCAUCCCAUGACUACAUGUUAAUAACAUAGUUUACCAUAUAUCAUAAAAAUAUUAGUUACAAUAAGCACAUACGCAUGUGGAAGAGUCCGAAUGCACCGGUUGAGGACUAAACACAUUGAAUUACUAGAACCAAAUGUAUGUUUAGAACAAAGACAGGGGUCAAGGUUUGGGUAACCGCAUUAAAAACAUUGGAUUUUACUGUACAUGAACACUUAGUUACCAUUACCAUGCCUUGAGCACCUAGUUACAACAAACAUUAAUUUAGCCACUUUAGAGCUUCCAGAAUCGCUAUAAAUAAUAUACCUACGCCGUACCAUGAAAACAUCAAGAAGAGAGACGGAUACAUGGACCACCAUCAAGCGAGUAGUGACAGCACGCACAAGAAUACCCGGAACCUGUUAGCUUGUCUGUAGUGAUCUGUUUUCUUCCCCAUAAAAUCCAUGAGUAUUGCCACAAAUAAUGAAAGAGGCUGACCAAGCUAGCAAGGAGGUAGAGCAAACGUGAUACACGGCCUGCCAAGAUUGCCCUGGAUACGCCAAUAAGAGCGACAGAUACAUGGAUCACACCAAUAUGGUGAAACGUAUAUUCAUCACACAAGCAAAGCUGGUCAGUUUAUCCAUGGUCAAAUUGUGGUCUUUGUUUUCACUUGAGAGCUAAUUGAGGCACUAUAAUAUGGGCAGGCCUAUCUUCAACAGACAUGACAGCUACAGGGAACUUGACAUAAUUUGCUGGGCCGCCUGUGCACAAUUAUUUGUUUUAUUGUCCUUGCAUAGAAUGCUAAAAUACUCUUUACAAAAUGUUGGAUCUAAUAUUUGAAAUAUAGAGUAGUAAUCAUAUAUUGAUCAACAACUUGAAAUUAUCUGUACAUUCUCGGUGAAGCUGUUGAACUAAUUUUUGCAAAUUAUUAAUUCAUCUCAUUACGUAAAGAAAAAAGUAAGUGGAUAAGAUAUUUCGUGGACCACAUCACUGCAAACAUGUCAUGGAGAGACAGACCAAGGAGGCAGGACGUGAUACACGACUUACCCUAGGUUGCCGUGGAACCGCCAAGAAGAGAUACAGAUACAUGGACCACACCAUCUUGGGAGUAGUGACAGCAUAUAUGCAGAAGAAUACCCCGUGCCUAUUUGCAUGCAUGUCUCAAGUGAUCUGUUUUCUUCAGAAAAUACAUGAGCAUUGCCAGAAAGAAUGGCAAGAGACAAACAUGUCAUAGAGACUUGCAUGUCUUGCCUUGGAUACGCCAAGAAGAGGGACACAUACAUGGAUAACACAAAUCUAGUGACACGUAUAUUCAUCACAAAGGCAAAUCUGAUAAUUUUAUCCAUGGAGCAGACCAAGGAGAAAUUGAUGACGGACAUGUGAUCUCUGUAUUCAGUUGAAAGCUAAUUGAGCUACACUAAUAUGAGCAGGACUAUAUUCAAGAGACUUGUUGAGAGCUACAGGGAACUUGUAAUAAUUUGCUGGGCGGCCUGCGCACAAUGAUUUGUUAUACAUAGUUGAAAUAUUUCAAGAAUUUAUCAACCUCAUACUCUGAAACCCUUGGUGCAAUGUACUCUGCUUUCCGAGGUAGACUGUUCACGUAAAAUGAGGUCAUGCGUAAGACGGAAUCGGAUUGGAUUCACAGGGAAUCAGAUUUGGAUAGCACCUUUUAGCAGGUUUUUAGUCAAAUGCAAAUUCGGAUCCACAUGUGGUUGAAUGCGAGUUCAAAAUUCUACUUGGAUAUCCAUUUAAUUUAGGUGAUAGCAAUUAGCACAAAAUGUUGGAUGAACAAAAUCAUAGUUAGACAUACAAUUACAUGUAUGGUUAAAGUAUAAUACAAUACACCAAGAUUAUUCCUUGAAAAUAUUUCUUAAAAAUAUUAUAAUAAAUGAAUAAAUAUAAUUGUGGCCACCAACAAAUAGUCGGUGGUCGCUAAGUUGGAGCCAUUUCUGGUUACUAAUGCGGCCUUCUCCUCGACCAGCGACGACAGCUGAGCUUGUUCCUUCUGACACUAAAUCAUCAGAGUCUUCCCUCCACUACUAUAGAAUGCACCUUUAGCACCAAUUGGGAAAUCCCCUUCAGUAUUGGAUGCUGCAACCAGUGCUAUAUAUCAAAAUGGAGACUAAAAGCCUCGGUCUUGGGUACCGGUUGCAUAACGCAUUACUAAAGGAGGCAAAAGAGAAAUGUAACAAAAAAAAUAUUUUGAAUUCCAAGAAUGUUUCACUAUUCAAGAUGACUAGCUGAGAGUCAACAGACAAGAUACUAGGAAUGUGGGUGCUUGAAUGCAUUUGUACAGAGGUCAUACUAUUUACAAACUCUUCUAUGUUUCCAUAUGACUACCUACUUCAAUGUCACGCGAGCCAUUCAGCUGGACACAUGGCACACUAGCUUGCAUGUCGAAUCCAUGAUUAAUUAUUUGCACUUGUGAUCUCUUACCAGUAUUUGUCCAGACUAGAAACGUGCAACACAUUUUUAGGAUAUGGACACGCAUAUAUUUGGACUAGUAUACAGGUCACCUUUGGAUGCGUACAAGGAUGACCGGGAGGGACUAAUGGAUACAAGGAAGGGACCAUCAGGAUUAAUAUUGACAUAUGCCACAUGACAAUCUUCAUUGUCAUGCAAUCCCUAUCAACAAUCAUGGAAUCCCUAGUGUACUAAUCCCUGGAGGGUUGUGUGGAAAUUUAUUUUACCUUGCGGUGAAAAUCUCAUGAGCAGUCAUUAGUUAAGCUGACUAGCUGAGAUAUAAUAGACAAGCUAGUAAGAUUGGGAGCAUCAAUGCAUCCAUACAGGGUCACAAUAUCCUUUCCAUUCACUUUUAUAUAUAACCCUACGAAUACAAGUCCAACGAAAUGCGGGCCUUUCGAUCAAGAUAAAUUAAAUGGCCCACUUGUAUUUCUAAUCCAGGAUUAACUAUGCCCUCUGUUCAUCUCUUGCAAGCACGUGCAACACAUUUUCACGAUAUGGACAUGCAUGGAGGUUAUUAUACUGUUUGGACAAACUCUGAUGUGCCAUGACCUAAAUGCUUAGGGCCUGUUUGGUUUGAGUUGCUUAUUAUAAGCAACUUAAAGUUGCUUAAAGUUGCUUAUUUGAAGUUGCUUAUUUUUAGUCUAAACUGUUUGGAUACCCUUGCUUAUGAGCAUUGAAUGAGUUGGACAUUGUCAAAUUUGCCCCAUGUGUUGCUACCCCUCCAAUUUGCCUCCCCACCCUUCUUCUUCCUGCACACGUCCGAUCCCGGGGGCCGACGGCGGGCAGGGAGCAGCAGCAGCUGGCCAGGGCGGCGGUGGGGCGGGAGCGGCGGCGCACACCAGCACGCGCUCGCACGCCAGGUGCUAGGGCGCGGCGAGGCAGUCGUCGUAGCCCACCGGGAGCGGGUGCUCGGGCGCGAGGCGGUACUCGACGGAGAUGCCGAGCGUCGGGCGCGCGGCGGCGAGCGCGUUGAGGAAGCGAUGGUAGUGCGGCGACGUCGCGGACUCCGCCACGAAGCCGCCGCCGUGGACGUACACCACCACGGGCAGCUUCGUCUUGCCGUCGGCGGCCGCGGCCGCGGCCUGGGGUGGCAGGUAGAGGCGGACGGAGCAGGAGCCGAGGUCGACGUCCCUGGAGUCGACGCCCGUGGCGGCGUCCAGGCUGGGCCCGACCGGCGGCGGCACGAGCGGGCGCUCGAUGCGGCCGCUCUUGUAAAUCCGACGGGUCUGUGCGGAGGCGGGCGGCGGGCGGGAGCGGCGGGUGGGAGCGGCGGCAGGUGGUGCGGAGGCCGGCGGCGGCGGGUGGCGCGGAGGAAGGGGAGCUGGUGAGUGGUGACAGGGGAGGGGGGGAGAGAGAGGGGGGGUAGGGUGCAUUGAAUGAGGGCAGGAGGUGUAAAGUGCACCUUUUAGUCCCCAUGAGCAACCAUAAGCAGCCCAAGAGUUGCUUAUUUGCUUAUAAUAAGCAACCUCAUAAGCAAGAGUGAUUGGUUUCAUAAGCAACUUAUUUGCUUAUUUUAAGUUGCUUAUGCAUAAGCAUGUGAAACCAAGCAGGUCCUUAACCUAUGGUUGUGGCACCACACAGUACAUAGUAUUUAAUAAUGCUAUUCGUUUGGUAUGUGCACAAGGGCACGCAUGAAAUGUCUGGCCCACGGUAAACAAGUACGGACGCUGCAAAUAAUCUACUCUGCUCGUCCAGUCCCUAGCCUAUAAAUAGAUGCCAUGCUAGCUCUUGUUGUGCUCACAAUUAAUCCUGACUACACACGAGCUUCUCUCCCUGGCCAAGACACAAUCAUAGUAUGAUGAAGAACAUGGCACUAGCCGGCAAUGGUAUGAAGAACUUAAUCCUCGCUGUUCUCUUACUGUGUCUAGUUAUAGGGCAGAUACAAGUGGAAGCUAAGAGCUGCUGCCCAUCCAUUACUGCAAGAAAUAUCUACAAUGCCUGCCGUAUCACGGGUACAUCCCGUCCAACGUGUGCAAAACUGUCAGGCUGCAAAAUUAUCAGCGGGGACAAAUGCAAGCCCCCUAACGACCACCUCACCCUUGACCCGGACACUGGUAAAUAAUAAAUUUAUCUCACUUGAUUUCUUCGUGUUUUGAGUCGUUAAUGUAUUUUCCAUCUGAUGAAACGUAUUGGUUUUGCAUUGAAGAGGAAGUUAAUGUGCUUAACUUCUGCAAGUUGGGGUGUGCGUCGUCUGUGUGCAACAACAUCAACGCUGGUAAGCACCUUUUGCUCAGACGGAGAAAACAAUAAUCAUUAAUUAGCGGCAGCUAGAAUCCUAUAAUCUAAUAUAUUUAUAUAUAUAUAUAAUUUUAUCAGCUCUGGGAAAUGAAGAGGCGAACGAUGCCGUUGAGAGUUGCGACCAAGCCUGCUCUAGCUUCUGCAACGUGCACGUUGGCGCUGCCACCGUGGUUGCUUAAGCAAAUGCAUCCAACUGGAUCGUCCUUGUGCUAAAUAAUUGGAUAUCGUAUCCACUUAAAGCUGCCUUGUGUAGUACGUUUUUGUUUGUGUCUCUCUUUAUAUUCCAAUAAGGUCGGUGAUCUUGAUGCCACACACUCAGACGUGUGUUCAUCUCCAGAUACUACUCCAUGCUACCUGCCCUUUGUGUUUUGUUCAAUAACUGGGUAUCAUAUCCCAGCCAGUGUGCCAUCUGUUUUGUGUUUAUUUCCUUCUAGUUUCAAAGGGGUUAUCAU